RNAcentral lists this long non-coding RNA (54024 nucleotides) under Brassica napus (rape). Its description in RNAcentral is "long non-coding RNA (BNAP_LNC022129)". Lineage: Eukaryota; Viridiplantae; Streptophyta; Magnoliopsida; Brassicales; Brassicaceae. The record is from RNAcentral.
AUGUACAUAAGUUGGCUUAUAAAUAAUCCCUGACAAAACUAUUUGGAUUAUACAGAGAUCAAGGGGCAUAAGCCGAGUAUGUAAAUAUAAAUUAUCACAUUGAGAGUUUUACUUAGACAUAAACAAUAUAUAAUAGAUUUGGAAUAUAGUCCAUUUACUGCCAAUUAAUUUUAAUUUGGAAAGUUAUAACAUUUAACAUGGUAUCAAAACCCCUAAAUUUAAUUCUAAAAAAGGUUAGUACAUCGAUCUGCACUCUUAUAAUUGCUCUCAGAUCCAAUAAUAAUAAUAUGCAAGAUUAAUGAUUAAAAGAGCUAUUAUUUCGAAAGAAUGUAUUAAGAUUAUGUAGAGAUUAAACCUUAAUGUUUAAAAAGUGUGUGAAUAUAAAAUUUUUUUUUUGGAAAAAGUGCAUGGGUCCGAAGCCGCCAUCCGCCCCAAUGUCAAGGUUAAAAAACACUUUGCAAAAACAUGGCCAUGGACCCACGGUGGUACAUUUAAAAAAAAAAAUAGCUGGUGCACGGUUGAUGUAACUUCUUGUUAUUUAUAGAAUAUUUGUUAAUUUAGUUUGUGGAACUUUUUUGGGAGUAACAAGAUUCUAUAAAUAAAAUAAGAAGAUAUCUUUGUUAACCCAAUAAAACAAUUAGGCCGCCUGACUUGUGUCGAAUAAUGCAUACUUCAUCUUUUACGAUAAAAGGUGUUUAUUAUUGCAAGAUCGAGAUUUAUUCUUUAGUAUUUUGUAAUAAUGCUGCUUAUCACUAUCCAUAUUCAAAUAUGAUAGAAAAUGUAUGUUUGAGUAUUGAUGGUUGUUUCCAUUUAUUUUUUUUUGUUAAAGAAGAUAACGUAGUAAGUAUACACCUAAACUACGUAGAUGCAUAAUCACAAAACACAACGCACACUAUAAAUUUUUUACUAGAGAAUUAAUUCUUGCAUAUUUUUAGGUAAGGUUUUACAUAUUUUCAUUCUUUUUCACUAGUUAUAAUUAGUUCAUUUAUUAUAUUUUCUAAAUAACCCAACAUCAUUUAUUACUGAAAUACAAAAUAUAAUUUAUCUAUUUUAGGUGUUUUAUUAUAUUUUACAUUUUUUCUGUUUUAACUAUUUCAUUAAUUAUUUUUUCAUAAUAAUUCGACAUAUUUUAUUUUGCAUGUUAACCAUAAAAAUUCGAUAUAUUUUAAUAAAUUAUUCUAUUUGUGACAAUAAUUCAAAACGGUUAAGAAAGAGUUUUUUUAAAAAAAAAUUGUUUAUAAAAUUAGUUAAACAUGGAUAUUCGGGUAUACGAUUGGGUAAAUGUUGUCUUUUCGGAUAUUAGAUUUUUGAGUUUGAAAUUAGUCUCCGUUAUGAUAUUAUAGAAUUUCUGAUGUGUAGGAACCUAAAAAUAUCAAAAAUAACCUAUGUGUCUGAAAUGAGUUAAGGAUAUUUGUACAAAAAGUAACUAUAUUGUCUGAUUCAGUUUGAGUAUUUUGUAUCCAAACUAAAAAUAACUUAAAUAACAAAAUAACCAAAGCAAUCAUAUUAUCCGAUUCAAUUCGGGUGAUUAUAAUGUUUAGAAAUCUAAAAAUAUUCAAAUAACCAAUAUAAAAUUAAUUUUAAGGUGACACAUAUAGAAUAUAUAACACUAAUUAUGCAAAACAAAUACUCUCUCUGUUUCACAAAGAAUGUCAUUUUAUGUUGUUUUCAUGUUUUACAAAAGGUGUCAUUCUACAUUUUCAUGCAACAUUAUACAUUAAAUUUAUUUUGAAUAGCCAAUAUAUUUUUAUUUAAACCAUUUUCAUUUAAUUAAGCAUACAUUAAAUAAAUACAUUAUAAUUUAUUACUCCCACUGAAUACAAAUAUAUGAUGUUUAAGUUUUUUCACACAUAUUAAAAAACAAUAGAUAUACUCUUUUGGUUAUUACUUUUUGAUUUUAUCAAUAAAGUUUCGUCAUUCAUAAUUUCGUGUUUAAUUUAUGUUUCUUUUUAAAGAGAAAUGAAUUAAGUAUAUCAUAAAACAUCAUAGAUUUGUAUACAAAAUAAAAAGGUAGAAUAUCAUACAUUUGUAUACGGAGGGUGUAUACAAUUUUUUUAAUCUCUCUGAAAUGUGUUAAAACGUCCACACGGAUCUGAGGAUCAAUUUCUAGUAGACAUUUGCCCGCAGACACACACAUACAUGGAUGCAUAAACUUAAUUUUUUUUUUCUAAACCUAAAUUGUUUAGUAAAGAGUCAAAAAGUCGCUUAUGGUUGCAAAUAAAACGUAAUGUGGGCCUUGGCUAUUUUUUUACUAACAUAAUUAUGAAUGUAAAGUCUACCAUUAAACACAUAACGAAUGUGUAAUGCAAAAAAAUCGUUGGGUGAGAAAAAUAUAUGUAUCUUUUUUGUCAAAAAAUAUGUAUUUAAUUCUUUGUAUUUAGAAUGGCCAUUGUAUUUAUAUAUUUUGAAUUGUAUAUAUAUCUUCGAUUCCAAUAUAUAAAUACAUGUAGCUAUAUAAUAUCUUCUUAUUAAUAUCCAAAUUUGUUUUUGAUUAAAUUUUUAAUGUGCCUUAUCAAAUUUUGUCAAAUGUUUUUUUCCAACAAGAUAUAUUGCUAGAAGACAUGUGUAAGUGUGAUAAAAAGGACCAUAAAUUACUAAGAAUUAAAAUUAUACUAAUACUUAUUAUGAAAUUGAUAUUCGUAAGAAAAUGUUUAAAUACAUUAUUUUAUAAAUUUAAAACAUAAUUCUAAAACCAUAAAAUAUAUAGUUUGAUUAAUAUAAACGGAACAGAUCAAACUUUGAAAUCUAAAUGUUUUGUCGCACAUUAAAUUGAAGCAGAAUGAAAUUAAACUAAUGAUUAAAAAAUUAUAUCCCGCGCUUUUAAAGUGCGAGUAAAAAUUUAAUAUAUUAUUAAAAUAUAUUAUUCAUGAUUAUGUAAGUACCAAAAUUUAGACAAUUAUUGAGAGAAACAAAAAAAUAUAAAACACACAUGAGUCUAGAGUCGCCCAAGAGAAAAGUAAGGAGCAGCCACGACCGGAGUCUUUCUUCGCACUUUGGUCAACGUUUUCGAGAAGAUAGGGAGAGACGAGAGAGUGACAUUCUUGUGAACUAUAUAUAUUACCUUGCAACAACUAGUAACUAAUUAACCAACACAGUUGGCCUAGUGUUAGUUGAGGACCAGAUCCAAUACGCUCUCCGCAGGUUCGACUUGCGUUGGCCACCCGGACCUUAACCCUGCUAAUUUCUGGGGUAGAAAUCACGUGGCUGCUGCGGACCUCGUGGGAUUAGUCGGUUGACCUCGGUCGCCUGAUCCCCACGGAUAUAAAAAAAAAAAAACAACUAGUAACUAAUCUAAUAAAUUUUUAUAGUGUAUAAACAUACGAUGGCUUAUGGUUGUGAUAUUCUGUUUGGGUGCACUAUGACUUAAACAUUAUGUUCAAUAAAGCUAAAAGUGUAGUUAAGUAACAUACAAUAUAAACUCAAUAAAAUAACAUUCAAUAAAUUAAAAAUAUAAAUUAAUCAAUUGUUCAAUUUUAUUUUAAAUUUUAAAAUAUAAUAUAAUUUAAUAAUAUAAAAAUAACACUUUUAGAAGAAAUUAGGUAAAUAUAUGAUUUCAAUAAAAUUAUAAUCAACAAUUACCAUAUAUAUUGCUCAUCAACCCUAUAUUUCUUAAGUGAAAUUAUCAUAUUUUAAGGACAUUGAUGGUUUAAGGAUCAAGAUCUUCCAGUUUGGUUCACAGAGUCAGUAUGAAUCUGUAUAAGUUGAUGAUAAAAAAAAAGGACACUGAUAGAACCAGAAGCAGCAAUCCUUAUUGAAAGUAUCUCGUUAAGUCAAUGUUCUACGGUGGACAGAUAAAUAUGUUAUUUUACACAGUCUAGAAUAUAUACGGUUAAAACUGAAUGUGAAUUGGAACAUCUCUAUCUAGCAAGGCUGGUCUUAGGAAAAACCGGAUGAAAAUUCGCCUAGAGUCCCCAACUAUUUUGAAAAAUAUUACAUAGACAUAUGCCUCCAAAUUUAUAGAAAAGGCCUUCAAUUUUUUUUUUUUAAAUUGAAAUCUUAACUAAAUCGCCUAUGGCCUCCAAAAUCUCUGGACCGUCCUUACUAUCCAGACAACCACUAGUUUUCAGGCCUAAUACUAAGACCCUUCGGGUACACGCAUGGAAAAUAAAAUGUUCCCCAAGGGUAAGGUAUUUUUCGGCAAAUUAUUCAGGUUGUUUACUGGUCAGGAAGAAUCUUCAAUCAAGAGGAAUAGAAUGUGAUUUCAUUGUCAAAGAUAUAGAGCAGAAGAAGAAUCAAUAAAUCAUAUUUUUUUUGAAUGUCCAUCCGUUGUUCAGAUCUAGAUGUUAUCAAGGAUACCCACGCACCCAUGUAGCUUCUUUUGCAGUCAGUUUUCACGAACAUGGAUUAUUAAUUUUGGAGGAUUACGUCGCACUAAAGAUGCACAAUUCGCCUGGAUUCUUUAGUACAUCUGGAAAGAGCAAAACGAUAAGAUUUUAAAUAGAAUUGAUAGAGAUCCAAGAUACAUUGUAACUUGCGGAAACAGAAUUAACAUUGUGAAGGAAGCCAAAUCUCAUUAGAGUAGAAUGGAACCCAACCAUUCAACGAAUCAGAGAAAAUUUCAAUGAAUCAGAGAACUUUCGAGAUCCCACAUGUAUCCAAGACUCAAAACACAAAGUCAUACAGUCUUGCACGUGGAGUUAGAUGUCAACCAACCUACUUCGUUUUCAUAGACAUUGAAUCCUAUAUUUAGUUAACAAAGUCUUAACCGAGUCUUUUUAUGCUGGUAACCAAAAAUACCAUCUACAAAUCUUACAUAAAUUUUUAUAAAGAAUUUAAAAUAAUGUUUGUUUUAUUUUUAUUUUUAUUAUAAUAGUUUAGUGUUAUUUUGUAAAAGUACAUUGAAAACACAUUUACAUUCUAAAUUGUUUUAUACAUAAAAAUGAAAAAUAAUAAGAAAGAGAUUAAAAUACAUCUAUCAAAUUUAAUAAAUAUAUAAUACAAUAAAAAUACUUUAAUAUUUAAUAUAAAAAUAUUUUAAAUAUAUAAAUAUAUUUAAAUUAUUAUAAUAAUAAAAUAUCAUAAUUUUAACACUUAUAAAACAUUUACUGUAUGGUAUUAUAUAGGGUACUCUCAAAUGGAUUGAAUUAGAUUUUGUAUAAAACGUAUUGUUGAUGGGAUACAAGAUUACGGGUGCCAAUUUUAUAUUUAUUCAGAAUAAAAUAAUUUUUGUUAAUCAAGUUUAUGUUAAUAUGCUUAAGUUGUAGAUAUUUAAAGACGCCAUUGAUAUUAUAUUUUGAAUUUUUUUUUCAAAUUGAGUUUGUGAAUAUUAGUUAGAUUUUACUUUGCAUAUAUUAUUUGAUAUUACAUACUUUAAUCAUGAAACAUCAAAUCAAAGUAUUUGUUGAUUUGUCAGAUCGAAUUUGAAGGAAUUAAAGGUAAAUUGACUCAUCAAAAGGUGGCGGAUCAAGCAUAUUAUCAAACAAGCCACCUUGUAAAUUUGGUAGUUUAUAUUCCGUUUGAACCGAGAAUUGUCGGAAACAAGUAAAAGAGACGAGAACUCGUCGGUGGAUCAAAACAAAGACGUUUAUUAGAUCAAAGAAUGUUUAGUCGGUUUACAAAUAAGGAAAUAUGCGGUAGAAAGCAAAUCGAUGAAAGUUAGUUCGCCGGGAAAUACAAGUCGGCGAGAAAGAAAAAUGAAACUUUAGUUCUAGCCGCCGAAAGUAUGUGUAGGCGAUUUCAAAUUCUCUUUUCGCUGCUUCUACCUCUCCUUAUGUAGACGUCUAGUCGAUGACCUAAUUCGCCCUCAUUCAAUGGGAUUUCCAUUCGUUGGGCCGAGCUAUCGGGCCUCUGCGUCGAGCCGUCGAGUCGACUACUUUCGGUCGCUCGUUCGAUCGACUAAAAGCAGUCUCGAGACGGUCUAUAAACUGGCAAACCGAGUCUCUUUCCUCUGAUUGUGGCCAGGCUAGCUAUUCUGUGGGCCUUGUGGUAGGAUAUGAUCCAUACUCAACAUAUUUCAUACGAAAACAUGUAGAUUUAGAUUGUAGUACUCGGAUAUUUAAUAACUAGCCAAAAAUAAUCCAUUGGAGUGUUUAUUGUUAUGAACAAUGUGGAUUGCUAGUAACCAUAUCAAGGAAGAACGGACCGCGUCCAGGCCCAAUGUCCAAGACCGCGUCCAAGAAGGAGAGAGAGGCGGCUAAAGAUUAGACCGUCUAUAGUAUAUGAUGAUUUCCUUUUCUCUUCAAGUUUAUCUUUAAGUAGAUUUCCUAUUUCCUUUAGGAUAAUGAUUUGUACUCUUUCCAUUUAUCUAUUCCUUGUAAUCCCUAUAUAAGGGAACACUUUGAUUGAGUAAUGAGAACAUACGAUUUCCCCUAUUGUUCACAACACGUUAUCAGCACGAUAGCCUCUAAAUUCCUGAGACCUAAAUCGAAACCUAAAAGCCUAUAACCGGCGACUCAAAACUAAAACUCUAAUCUCGUUCUUAGUUCAAUCAAGAACUCAAUUGAUUCCUCUUGAAACCUAGACGUUCUCAGAUCACGUUCUCAGCUCAGAAGAACCGCCCAGCUCGUGAUCAAACCCGUGACGCGAUCGACCCGAGACGACCCGAUCUCCGCGCAGCUCGCAGCCGAGACGCCUCCAGCCCGCGAUCGUUCCAUCCGCGACCCGAUAGGAGGCAGCAAGCGUCCAUUCUUCUCAGCUCGAUGUUUUAUCCAUUCUCAGGUGGUCCGGUUUUAAAUCCCCUACGAAACAAAGGUAUAAACAUAAUCUGAGAACCUAGAUAAAGAACAUAAACCCUAAUCCAUCAUUAUGGAAACUAUAUUCUCAAUGAAACCCUAAAAGAAACCACAAGAUUAAAAUCGACAAGUCUUAAAACUAGAAAGAAUACGAUUCCAACUAGAAUAUGAUUGUAUGUUGAUUGAUUAAAUCUGAAACAUGACAGACCCUAAUAAAGGAAUCGAAAACCCUAAACCCUAAAGAAGCUAGAAUCCGAUUUUAAGAUUGAUCUUGCUUGUUUGAUUUCUUGCUUGAUUUGAGGUUUAGGAUUGUUGGAUUGUUUGAAAUAAUUUAGCUAAGUAUACAAAUACUUAAGGCCUAGAAACCUUAAACAUAAGGUUGAUAGAAUUUAAAAGAUUGAAAACCCUAGGUAUUAUAAAGUAAGAAUAAGUUUGAUUGCUUUACAUAAAUCCGAACAUGGUAUUGCAUUCAUAACUGAUUGUAACAAGAUCGACCAGCAUAUAGAUCACACGAAUUUAGGUUGACUGCAUUAGUAAACCUAUAUAGCCGUGUGGCUCAUGAUUGAUAGCACCAUGGUCGAUUAGUAUUGUUUUGAAUAUCAUAAAUGCGUAAGACGUGUUGUGGCCAAGCUUGCUUAUUAUCAUGCGGCCACCUGAUCACAUUAUGAACCUAAAAUUUAUAUGAUAAUGUGAUUCAGAUGUCGAAAAUAGCAAACAGAGACUACGCAGCCCUUAAUCUCUCCGGAGACAAUUACUUGCAGUGGGCACUAGAUACAAGGAUCAGUCUAAAGUCCAAGGGACUCGGUGAUACUAUCACCGAGGACAACAAUGAGAAUGAAAAGAAUAGAUACAGGGCCAUAAGCUUUAUGCGCCAUCAUCUCAUUGAAGGUCUUAAAGAUCAGUACAUGACAAUUGAAAAUCUACUAGAUCUUUGGAAUGCUUUAAAGCAUAGAUAUGAUCACCAAAAGAUGGUGUUGCUUCCAAAGGCAAGGCACGACUGGAUGCACCUAAGAUUCUUAGACUAUAAGUCAGUGGAUGAGUACAAUUCAGCCUUGUUCAAGAUAGUUUCAAUACUAAGUCUUUGUGGUGAAGAAGUAUCCGAUAUGAUGAUGCUUGAAAAGACCUAUACGACUUUCAAUCAGUCGAAUUUUGUAUUGCAAGAGCAAUAUAGAACAAAAGGUUUUGCCACAUAUACUGAUCUGAUCUCGUGUCUACUCUUGGCCGAGGCAAACAAUGAGCUCCUAAUGAAGAAUAGUGGAGCCAAACCGGCCGGGACAGCACCAUUACCCGAAGCCCAUGAGGUUGAAAAGAAAGAUCCCAAAGAGACCUACUACGCCCAAGACAACAGGAAACCAUACGGCAAUGGCCGUGGUGGAUACAAGAGGCGUAGGCGUGACAAUCAGAACGGUCGAGACAACUACUCAACCGGCCGAAAAGGAAACCACAAUAACCGUGGUCGUGGUUCCAAUUACGGUCGGGGUCGAGGCAGUUACGGCCGUGGACGAGGUGGCAUAUCCAAACCAUCUUACACGUCCAAGUCAGUAUGUCACAGAUGCGGGAUGGACAACCAUUGGGCCAAGAAUUGUAGAACUCCGAAACACUUGUGCGACCUCUACCAAGAGAGCAUCAAGAACAAGAACCCGGAGGCAAACAUGAUCCAAGAAAACGGUCAUGAUGACAAAGGAUAUGGAUAUGAUGCUGACAAUGAAUCCGACAAAGAUAACAAAGAUGACCUAAUGGAUUUCGAGACAUCCGAUUGUCUCAAGGACUAGUUUUCGAAUCACAUUGUCUUAUUGCUUUAUGUCUUUGAUUUGGUGUUUUUAUUUUAUGUAAUGACAUUUAUAAUAAUAAGAGUUUUAAAGAUCUUAUGAAGUCUCUAAAGUUUAGAAAUUUUUAUUUAUAAAAUGAAUGAUGAGAUGAGUAUACUUGUGGUGGAUAGUGGCACAAGUCAUACAAUACUUAGAGACAAAAGGUACUUCAUUAAUCUCAAAAUGCAAAAUGCAAAGGUACAUACCAUUGCGGGUGAGGCUAGCCUGAUUGAAGGUCACGGCCAAGCCUAUGUGUUGAUGCCGAAGGGCACUCACCUAGAGAUCAAAACCGCCUUGUAUUCCCCAAGCUCUAGAAGAAGCUUAUUGAGUUUCAAGGAUAUAAGAUUGAAUGGUUUCCAUCUUGAAACAUGGGAAGAAGGAAACAAAGAGUUCCUUAACAUAACUUCGAUCACCAAAGGCAAUAAAAAGAUCCUAGAGACUAUGCCCACAAUAUCUACUGGUCUAUACUAUGCAAGGAUCAGUAUGAUCGAGGCAAAUGCCUCCGAGCUAUUUACUUUAUGGCAUAACCGGCUUGGCCAUCCCGGAACAGGAAUGAUGCGAAAAUUGAUGAUGAAUUCACAAGGGCACACGUUUAAAGGAGUGAUCCCACGCAAUCUCACAUGUGCAGCAUGUGCACAAGGGAAACUCAUAACUAGGCCAUCACCAGCCAAGGUUAAUAAAGAAACCUUAAACUUUCUGGAAAGGAUUCAAGGAGACAUAUGUGGACCAAUACACCCACCUUGUGGGACGUUUAGAUACUUCAUGGUCCUCAUUGAUGCAUCGACCAGAUGGUCGCAUGUGUGUCUACUAUCCACUCGGAACCUAGCCUUUGCACGGCUGCUUGCUCAGAUGAUAAGGCUGAGAGCACACUUUCCAGACUUCCCUCUUAAGACUAUACGUCUAGACAAUGCUGGUGAGUUCACGUCCCAAGCGUUUAAUGAAUACUGUAUGUCCAUGGGGGUAAGAGUAGAACACUCCGUGGCACAUGUCCAUACGCAGAACGGCUUGGCCGAAUCCUUCAUUAAACGUAUCCAGCUGAUAGCCCGGCCAUUGCUAAUGAAGUCUCAACUUCCGGUAUCAGCAUGGGGACAUGCAGUUUUACAUGCAACGGAACUGAUUCGCAUCAGGCCAUCUAGUGAGCAUAGAUAUUCACCAUCCCAACUACUUACGGGUCAUGAGCCAGACGUGUCCCACAUCAAGACAUUCGGAUGUGCCGUCUACGUUCUAAUUGCUCCACCACGGAGAACUAAGAUGAGACCACAAAGGAGGAUGGGAAUAUACGUAGGAUAUGAUUCCCCAAUCAUUAUAAAGUAUCUUGAGCCAACAACCGGUGAUUUGUUUAAGGCCAGAUACGAAGACUCACAGUUUGAUGAGUCCACAUAUCCGUCCUUAGGGGGAGAUAACAGCCGGUUGAUAACAAAAGAUUUAGAAUGGUUUAGACCAUCAACAUCUGGGCAAGAUCCUCGGACUAAAGAUUGUGAUUUAGAAGUCCAAAAGAUUAUACAUCUUCAAGACCUAGCUAAUAGACUGCCAGAUACAUUUGCUGACCCAAAUAGAGUAACAAUAUCACACAUCCCGGCUUGUAAUGCACCUAUAAGAUUAGACGUCCAAGAUGGACAAUGUCAAGUGGCUACAGAGUCUAAGCAACGUUUAAAACGUGGUAGACCAAUUGGUUCCAAAGACAAACAGCCUCGGAAAUCCAAAAGAGGUGCUGGAUCCGAGAGCAUCAAGGAAACCGUCCAGGACAUAGAUGGACCGGUCGAGCCGACCAGAACGGUCGAGCCAAGCGUUCCGGCCACACCCGAUGAUCCGACCGUUCCUCAAAGUGAGGUCCAGGACGCUGGACUUCACGGGACACAAGAGCCGGACAACCAAGAGAUCUCCAUAGACCAUGUAAUGUCUGGAAAACAAUGGAACAGAAAAGAUAUCAACGUUGAUGAUUUAUUUGCAUACAAGGUAGCACUUGAGAUCAUGGAUAAAGAUGAGGAUCUAGAACCCACGUCCAUACAAGAAUGCAUGCUAAGAUCAGAUUGGAUCAAAUGGAAAGAAGCUACAAACGUGGAGUUAGAAUCAUUGAGAAAGAGAGGCGUUUUUGGCCCUAUAAUCUUGACACCAAGAGAUGUCAAACCAGUGGGAUACAAAUGGGUCUUUGUAAGGAAGAGAAAUGAGAAAGGAGAAGUAGUGAGAUACAAAGCACGGCUUGUAGCACAAGGAUUCUCACAAAGACCAGGAAUAGACUAUGAGGAGACUUACUCCCCUGUGGUGGAUGCAACUACAUUAAGAUAUCUAAUCAGUCUGGCCGUGAAAGAAAACAUUGAUUUACGCCUAAUGAAUGUAGUAACUGCAUACUUAUACGGACCACUGGAUAAUAAAAUACAUAUGAGAGUUCCAGAGGGUAUUGAGCUCAAAGAUAAGAAAGGUUCUCGAGAACAACAUUGCAUUAAGUUGAAUAAAGCCUUAUAUGGUUUAAAACAAUCAGGUCGAAUGUGGUACAAUAGAUUAUCCGAGUACCUAAUGAAAGAAGGGUAUAAGAAUGAUCCAAUAAGUCCAUGUAUAUUCAUAAAGAAAUUCAAAAGCAAGGGCUAUGUUAUAAUGUCAGUUUAUGUGGACGACCUGAAUAUAAUAGGAACCCCUGGAGAGAUUUCCCAAACCGUAGAAUGUCUAAAGAAAGAAUUCGAGAUGAAAGACUUAGGGAAAACUAAGUUCUGUUUGGGAUUACAGUUUGAGUAUAAAGAGAAUGGCAUCCUUGUGCACCAAGAAACUUAUACAGAAAAGAUACUCAAGCAAUUUAAUAUGGACCAGGCUCACCCCUUACCGUGUCCUAUGGUCGUAAGGUCCUUAGACAUUGAGAAGGAUCCAUACGGACCUAAGAAACCGCACGAGGAAGCACUCGGAUCGGAGGUGCCUUACCUAAGUGCCAUUGGAGCCUUAAUGUACUUGGCUAGUCAUACUAGACCGGACAUAAGCUUUGCCGUGAGCUUACUAUCUAGAUUUGGUUCAUGUCCGACCUUAAGGCACUGGAACGGAGUGAAACAUCUGUUCAGGUAUCUGCAAGGAACAAAAGAUCUCGGUUUGUUCUACACCAACCGACCAGGAGAGAGCAUGGUCGGAUAUGCAGAUGCUGGGUACUUAUCUGACCCACACCAGGCUAGAUCUCAAACAGGAUAUGUGUUCACACAUAGUGGAGCCGCAAUAUGCUGGCGUUCAACAAAGCAAUCCUUGGUGGCCACAUCAUCUAAUCACGCCGAGAUCAUAGCCAUGUAUGAAGCAAGCUGUGAGCUUGUUUGGUUGAGGAACAUGACCGGCCAUGUCUUAAGAGAGAGUGGUCUGGCCGUGGGACAAGAGAAGGAGGAGCCAAUGAUCAUCUACGAGGACAAUGCAGCGUGCAUUGCUCAGCUCAAGGAAGGAUACAUCGAGGGAGACAGGACAAAGCACAUCCUGCCCAAGUUCUUCUUCACCCACGACUUGCAGAAGGCAAAGGAGGUUCAAAUAGUUCAAGUUCGAUCCAGUGACAACUCAGCCGACCUCUUCACCAAGUCUCUACCAACCUCAACGUUCAGGAAGCUGGUUCAUCAGAUAGGGAUGCGCCGGCUGAAGGAUCUUCAGUGAUGCCUUCAUCAGGGGGAGUGUCAUGCGUUGUACUCUUUUUCCUGUCUAUGGUUUCCAUUUUUCCCACCUUGGGUUUUUGGUUUUCCUAGAGAGGUUUUAACGAGGCAACAUCGUGCAUGAAACGAGCCCAUAUGGUUAUAGCAUCCAAGGGGGAGUGUUAUGAACAAUGUGGAUUGCUAGUAACCAUAUCAAGGAAGAACGGACCGCGUCCAGGCCCAAUGUCCGAGACCGCGUCCAAGAAGGAGAGAGAGGCGGCUAAAGAUUAGACCGUCUAUAGUAUAGGAUGAUUUCCUUUUCUCUUCAUGUUUAUCUUUAAGUAGAUUUCCUAUUUCCUUUAGGAUAAAGAUUUGUACUCUUUCCAUUUAUCUAUUCCUUGUAAUCCCUAUAUAAGAAAACACUUUGAUUGAGUAAUGAGAACAUACAAUUUCCCCUAUUGUUCACAACAUUUAUUUGAUUGUGUUUUUUGAUUAGAUUAUCUUACAUAAUAUCAGUAUCAUCGUGUAAUAUUUUUGAACUUUGAUUAGAUAUGAUGCGUCUGGUCAUCCGUAAACCUCUUACGUGAGAUGGAAACACGAAUUUUUAUGAUUUUUCUUUUUGCUUUUUGGAUUAUGACUUUCAAUUUAGGAUGAUCUUUUUUUUUAUUACAAGAGCAAAAUCUUUGACUGAUGUAGUGAUGUUACAUGCAUUACAAGUGAGAUUAUUUGAGGAAUUUUUUUUUUUGUCAUCGAUUAGAUUUGAGGAAUUUGUAUCAUUAAUAUGAAUUUAAGGGAAAAAAUCACCUCGAAUAAUUUUUUCUUCUCCUCGAAUAGUUAGGUAGUAUGCAUACUUAUUCUUAUAUGUUUGGCUUAACGAGCAAUAGAGACGAUGAACUUUUCAAAUUCGGCAUCUUGAAGAUGACUACAAGUCUACGAGCUAUAGUAAUAGUUUCUUUUUUCAACAACUAUUCAUUCGAUGUGGUUGUGAUUCGAACGAUGUCGUGUAUUAGACUCCUUACUUGUAGACCUUCCUCGUUAUUUCCAAUAAAAUAUUUGAAAAAGAGAAAAAAGAAACCAAUUGAAGUGCAUAGAUAGAGAGACCCAAAAGGAAAAUGCCAAAUGAAUCAAUCUCAUAAAGAAAAGUAGAGGGUAGGGGUCCACUGUAGAUGUGCUCACAUACAUGCUCCACGAACUUCUGUUCCUUUUUAAUUUAAUUUAAUUUUUAUCUAUUUGGAUGAAUCAUUUUAUGCAUCUUAUCUAUGAGACUAUGACCAUCAUCACACAUACUUAUUUACAUUUAUUUAUACAUUUCUCUUCUUUUGCGCCUAUAAAUAGCAACCCUCUCUCAUUCUCUUAAGUACUGUCACAUCAAAAUAAUCAAACAACUAGCUACUUCAACCAAAUACUUUCAAAGAAGAGAGAGAGAUGGAGAAGAACAUUAAGUUUCCAGUUGUAGACUUGUCCAAGCUCAUUGGUGAAGAGAGAGACCAAACCAUGGCUUUGAUCAACGAUGCUUGUGAGAAUUGGGGCUUCUUUGAGGUACAAGCAUAUAUGUGAUUAUAUCUAGCUUUUUUGAGUUUGUGUACUUAAUUGGUAAUGUGGAUCUUUUUGUUUGGUGGUUAACUUGAUUUUCCAGAUAGUGAACCAUGGUUUACCACAUGAUUUGAUGGACAACGUCGAGAAGAUGACAAAGGAACAUUACAAGAUAUCAAUGGAACAAAAGUUCAACGACAUGCUCAAAUCAAAAGGUUUGGAAAAUCUUGAGAGAGAAGUUGAGGAUGUUGAUUGGGAAAGCACUUUCUACCUUCGUCAUCUCCCUCAGUCCAAUCUCUACGACAUUCCUGAUAUGUCUGAUGAAUACCGGUACAUAUAUAUUUUUUCUUCAUAAAAUCAACUUUAAAUCAUAUGUUAUGGUAACCAAAAAAUAUCAUAUGUUAUAUCCCCUUUAAAAGGGCCACUCUGCCACUUUUACCUAUAUUAAAAAGAUUUUUGUGAUAUUUUAUUUCUAAACAAAAUAACUAUACUUUGUUAGUUAGUAAAAACAGUUUUAAGGAAUUUGUUUCACUUUAGAACCUCUAAUCCUUUUUGUGUAAUGAAAAUAAAGUUGAGAAGAAACGUCUAAAAAUUUAACACACUUAUUUGAAAGAGGCAUACUGAAAUGUUUUUAUUUUGCAGGACGGCCAUGAAAGAUUUUGGGAAGAGAUUGGAGAAUCUUGCUGAGGAUUUGUUGGAUCUAUUGUGUGAGAAUUUAGGGUUAGAGAAAGGGUACUUGAAGAAAGUUUUUCAUGGAACAAAAGGUCCAACCUUUGGGACUAAGGUGAGCAACUAUCCAGCUUGUCCUAAGCCAGAGAUGAUCAAAGGUCUUAGGGCCCACACUGAUGCAGGAGGCAUCAUCUUGUUGUUUCAAGAUGACAAGGUCAGUGGUCUCCAGCUUCUUAAAGAUGGUGACUGGAUUGAUGUUCCUCCACUCAACCACUCUAUUGUCAUCAAUCUUGGUGACCAACUUGAGGUAUGAAUAUGUUCACACCACAUUUUCAAAAAAAUCUCUUGUUAAAAAAUCCAAUGUUCGGUAUUGAGUAUUGGUUUGGUUCGGGUUUGAUGUAACUGGGAAAAAUGAUUAGUAAAUGUUAUAACAGAGCUUAUUAAACUAGAAGAGCAACGUUUCCAACCUCAAAUGGCUUUGGGACAUUCAUUUGUAUUGUUCUCAAAUGGUUUCUUUGGAAAAGGCUAAGGUUUAACUGGAAAAUAUUUUCCUUAUUGAAUGUAGGUGAUAACCAACGGCAGGUACAAGAGUGUGAUGCAUCGUGUGGUGACUCAGAAAGAAGGAAACAGAAUGUCAAUUGCAUCUUUCUACAACCCGGGAAGCGAUGCUGAGAUCUCUCCAGCUUCAUCGCUUGCCUGUAAAGAAACCGAGUACCCAAGUUUUGUUUUUGAUGACUACAUGAAGCUCUAUGCUGGGGUCAAGUUUCAGCCUAAGGAGCCACGGUUCGAGGCAAUGAAGAAUGCUAAUGCAGUUACAGAAUUGAACCCAACAGCAGCCGUAGAGACUUUCUAAAAACAAAGUGGAGUUUGAGCGAAAGCAAAGAAACAAAAAUGUGUUUUGUGUUGUGUGUUUACGUCAAUAAGUUAAAGACUGAUAUUAUUGUUGAUAUAAUUAAGAUGUCUGGUGGUUAAUUGUUGGUCAAUGGUGUGUUUAAAGUGUGGGGUGUUUAUUUAUGUUUAUGGAAGAUGAUAAUAAUAAUAAAAAUAAAUAAUAUGAUAACUGUUCUAAGAGAUCUAAUGUGUUUAUCAUCAAAUCAAGUGAAGCUCUUUGUUUCAUAAAUCCGAAGCUUAAAAUCAAUGAAUCUAAAUAAGGUUUGUCCUCACAGCAGAAACAAAAACAAAACAAAGAUUGUUUGAAAAUUUUACAAAACAAGUUCCCUAAAAAAUUCAUCACUUUUGAGGUGAAAAUUAUUCGUCACAAUCAUCAUAUCCAACAUAAGUUACAAAUGGUUAAAUCUUCCCACAUUUUUGAGGUUAAUUUUGUAAUCACAAACCAUUUAUAAUUCGAGAAUCGGUUUCCGUUUCAUAGCACAUGACAUCAAAUCUCUAGUUAACCUAUUAGAGCCAGGUUACCAAAAUGAAAAAGUGGAACUUUGUACGAAGGAGAUGACAAAAUGUAUUUAUGAAACGUUCUCUUAACAUUCACGAUUACAUUAGAGUUCAAAUGUACAAGGACUGAAAACCUUACAGGACAUGUCCUGAUCAUAAGUCAGACGAACAAUCAAAGGCUACAAAUGAAUUUGACAGCUCAGUUAAAUUUCUUUACUGGAUCUGUUAUUCAAAAACAUUUCUAACAAAUUUUAGCCCAUUUUAAUAAUAGGCUCACAAACAUCAUUAUUAAUUAUUUUUGAGCUGAAAAAAUCACAGGCCCAUCACUGAAACGAAAGGAGUAACCCAUCAUUUAGGACAUACAAGCUUUUACGUGUAGGGUCUCAGGUCAUCAAAUACCAAACAAGUUUCCGCUGCUUCAACGUGGUUCCGUUGUGGGUCACCACGUGUAGAAAUCCACUUGGUAAACAUAUUUUAUCUGAAUGAUAAUAAUUUAGUACGAAAAGGUCGCGAAUUGGAUCACUCACGGAUUGUUCACGAAUGGUUGUCGCUAAGUACAGUAAUACUUCGCCUUUUGCACAGUUGCUUCCGUUCACAUUACCUAACUAAUUCCCACAAAGAAAAAUGUCAUCUAAAUUAUCAACUUUUGUUAUAAAUCAAUUGAUAGAUGUCUAUAACCGGCCCGAUCCAUAACCGGUCCAUACACUUAGAAAGAGAGACGGCCCAACCCUAGAGAUAGAGAGAGAGGCGGCUUAUGCUUUGGAAAAAAGGAAACUCUAUUUCAUUUUCUUUGUAAUUGUUAUCUUUCCAUUAUUAUGUAUUAGUAGUUUUCCUAAUCCUAGUUGGUUUAGGUUUUUGGAUACUUUCUUUUUUCUAUGACUUGUAAUCCUUAUAUAAAGGAACCCAUGUUAUGAUUAAUAAUACACAGAACUAUUCAGUCUUCAAUCUUCUAAUUAUAACACGUUAUCAGUACGAACGUUCUCUAAACUCCCUGAGCCUAAAUCGCCAACCACCUAAAACCUAACCUUGCCGACGAUCGCACCUAAACCCUAACCCGAUCGCAUACCGUCCGUUCCAGCAAGCAUUACCGUCUCAGCCUCAUCCGAUCUCAGCUUAAGACGAUCCCAUCCGUCCUCAGCUUGCAUCUCGGACAUCUCCAGCUCGCAAUCCCGACCAGCAGCUUGCGAACCCGAUAGGAAGCAGCUCGCGAACCCGAUAGGAUGCAGAUGCGUCUCGUUCCUGCUCGCGUCCAGCUCGAGGUUCAUCCGUUCUCUUUGGUGGUCCGGUUUCAUCCCUACAAACAAAGGUAUAUCGAUUAAAUCUAAGAACAUAAUGAUCAAACCCUAAAACCCUAAUCCAUUAUUAUGGAAAUCCUAUGUUCUUGAUCAAACCCUAAAAAUUGGUAUAACCUAAAACUGAUCAUCUUAUAAUCACUAGAUUGAAAUCGAUUCCAUUAGAACAUGUUGAUUGAUUGUUCUGAUCUGAAUUAUGAAAACCCUAAAUCUUGGAAUCGAAAACCCUAAAACCCUAAAGCUUGAAACCGAUUUUAAAUUGUCCUUGCUUGAUUGAAUGAUUGAUAAUCUGAGUUUUAAGAUUAAUAGAUUGAUUGAAUCUCAAAACUAAAAUCUUAAGGCCUUGAAACCCUUAACCUCAUGUUUAAAACACUAAAUCUCGUUUUAAAUUUCUAAAGGCCUUGAAACCUUAAAUCUCAUAUUGCUUAAAAUUUGAAUGAUUGAUUUGAGGUUUAGGAUUGAUUACAUAUUGAAUGAGAGUUAGGUUGCUAGAUUAUUUGAUUCUGAAACUCUAAAUCCUAGCCGCAUAUUACCAGCCUUGAAAUUGGUAAAACCCUAAUUGAUAUGCAACUGAAUGAUAAGAUUGAAUGCAUCUAAAUUGAUUAUCCUUGUUUGCAUUAUAUUCUGUUGUGGCCGUGUGAUUUUGCUAUGAACCAUACCGAACGGCCAUGUGGCCUAACCAUUUUGAUGCAUUGUUCAUACUCGCGGCCUUGUGCCCUUGAUAGAUCACAUUGUUUGCAUCAUGUGAUUGAAAGCCGUGUGGCUUAAUGCAUCAUAGCUUAGCAGUGUGGCCUAGAGAGACACCAUAUCUGAAUGGUCGUGUGACCUUGCUUGCAUAUCUCAUGAACCGAUCUCUAGGAUCGUUGUAUCACAUUACAUGGUCGUGUGGCCUAAGCAUCACAUAUAGACCUAGCAUUCUCGACUUGUUUCGCACCAUGAUCGAGUAGUAAAGUGUUUUGGUCGAGAUACUUAUGAAAUCAUAUGCACUGAUUAUUUUUAAUUGGUUGCAUCCUAAAUCAUGAAUUGAUUGAUAAUAUGGUUUCAAAUGCCGAGAUUUGAGCCUUUGGAUUAUGCCAUUCUAAAUCCCUCUGGAGAAAAUUAUCUAGAAUGGUCAAUGAACACUUCAGUUGUCCUGAAAUCAAGAGGACUCGAAAGGAGUAUCAUUCAGGGUAAUUAUGCAACUGAAAGUGAAAAGCGUAGGGCCAUAAAAAUUAUGCGCCAUCAUCUCACUGAGGAUCUAAGAAAUCAAUACCUAAAUAUUGAGAAUCCUCGUGACUUUUGGACAUAAUUAAAAUCCAGAUACACAAUGGUGUUAUUACCAAAGGUCAGGCAUGAAUGGAUGAGUCUCAGAUUCCAGGACUUUGAGUCUGUGGAUGAAUAUCAUUUUGCUUUGUCCAAAAUUGUUUACAAACUGAGACUAUGUGGUGAAGUGGUAACAGAGGAGGAUUUACUGGAAAAGACCUUCCUCACAGCCGAUCCAAGAGAUCUAUUGUUACAAAAUAUCUAUAGAGAAAAAGGUUUCACCACCUAUAAUGAUCUGCUCUCAUGCCUAACUGAGCACAAUAAUCAGUUGCUAAAAAGAAAUAGUGAGAUGAAAUAUCCUGAAGCAAAUAAGACUGAUAUGGAUCAGGAUGAAUCCAAGGCAGCCGUGUCCAAUGUAACUGAUGGUGUGGCUGGCAUGUCUAUUGACUAAAGAAAGAUCUCGACAUGCUAAUUGUGUUUUAAGUCUUUGAUUUGUGUUUUGUUUUAAACAUAAUUGUCAUUCACGAUUUUAUAUAUAAUAAUAGAAUUGAUUUGAGUUCAUUACUAUUAUAUCUUGCUUGAUCUUACUUGAUAAUGUGAAUGAUUGAUAAAGAAAUCGCCUAAAAGGCAUUAUGGUACGGUAUAGUAGCCUAGUAAGAAAUCUAUGGCUAAGGCAUUGCCUAAAGGGCAUUAUAUACACCCAAGAAUAUAUGACCCAUUGAGUUAAUAUGGUUUCCAAAUAGAAACAAUGGGCAAAAGGAAACAAGUUCCUUCAGAUUUAAGAAAGAAAGAAAACGCCUAAGACCCUUUAAGAAAGUGGUCAAGACUAUAUCUAUGUAAUCUACUGAUCAAAACUAUGCUACAUAUCAGUAUGAUAAGAGGCAAGAGUCAUGGUGAUCAUACUGAUAUAUCCCACGAAAAUUAUACACUUUAUCGCAAGACCGGAUUAGCCAUCCUAGUCUAAACUUGAUGCAAAGAUUGAUAUUGAGAAGGCACAAAGAGUUAUCCCAUAAGAUCUCGCGUUGUGAAACAUAUACACAAAGGAAAACUCAUUAGGCUUUAUUGUCCUCAGCAUCACGAAAUUAUAGUAUGUUCAUGAGGGGGAGAGAGGAUAAACCCGUGAUACAUGAUCAAUACUAUAAAUUCGUGAACCAUGGUCUAUGACCAUGAUAUAAACGGCUUGGUCGUGCAGUCCAUUACCUAUAAGGAUCGGACAUCCAUCCUAAAGCUUAGGGACAUCAUGGAUUUACAUGUAUAUAAAGUAAAAAUAUAUCAGGCCAUAUAAGUGAGCAUAGAUAUUCCCAUAUCAGAUUGAAUACGGGUCAUAAACCAGACAUACACCAUCUUAAGAGACUUUGAAUAAACCACCACAAACAUAUGUGUCGUCUAAGAUGGAACCUCAGAAGAGGAUUGGGAGUAUAUGUUGGAUAAGAAUAUGUCUUUCUCCCACGACUUCUAAGAGACCUUGAGCCAAAUAUGGGUGAUCAGAAAGUGGCCAGGUACACGGAUUGCAUGAUCAAUGAAUCCGACUAUCCAACAUUAAAAGGAGAAAUCUAUAAGCUGGUAAAGAGUAAAGAAUGAUAAGAAACAUAAUGGUAUCAACCAUCAUUGUCUUGGCAAAGAUCCUCGGAUUAGACUUAUAGACGUCCAAAGAAAGAAAAGAUUAUACAUAGCUAGCUAAUCAAGAUGCCAGACACUGACCCGAAAAGAAAAGAAAAGAAUGACUAAGUCAUAACCAGCUUAGCACCAAACGAAAUCUGAUGUCCUAGAAAGAGACACAGUCAAGUUGCUACAGAGUCUAUACAAGAUAGACCAAAGUGUUCCAUAAGAUAAGGAACCUCGGAAAGAAAAAGAGAAAGGUGCAUAGAAUACAAAUCCGAGGUCAUAAGGAAACCAGACCAGACAUUGAGAAAAGGCUGCGCAGCUAAACAUCUAAGGUACCAAACCAUGUAGUUUGGGACGCCAAGCUACUAGGUAACAAAGGUCCUGGAUAAUGAAAUCUCAAAUCGAUUAGAUCAUGUCUGGAACACAAUGGAACCAUAUAUAAGUGUCGACACAUUAAGAUAUAUUUGUACAUAAGAGAGUAGCACUUGAACAAAAAUAUAUAAACGAGGAUCAGAACCCACGAAAGAGUACUCAUAAAGAUUAAAAAUUAGAUUGAAAAGAUAAACGUGGGGUUUAAAGUAUCUAUAGAGAAAGAUAGGCGUAUUGGCCACAUACAUAUAUACAGAAACGCCAUCUGAUAUAAACCAGUGAAAUAGAUGGGUCUUGUGAGGGAAAAGAAACUGUGAGAUAUGGUACAUGAUCACAAGGUCUAAAGGUGUUCAUGUUUCCUACUAACAGCAUUCGAUCAUUGCUUGUUACACAAGGAUACUCACAGAGACCAUGGAACAGAUUAUAAGGAGAUAAACUCCUAUGUGGUGGAUGCUGCUACAUAUUUUCGAAUUGAUAAAGGUCUGGUCAUAAGAAAGAAAUUAGAUUGACAUAUCAAGAUGUAGUAAGCAGCAUAUGGAUCACUGGUUAAAGAACAACAUUGUUCCUAAGCUGUUUAUGGACUGAAACAAAGCAGUUGCAUAUAGCAUGAAAAUGAGUUAUAUAAGAACAAUCCAAUUCAGUCCAUAUAUACUUAUAAAAGAAAUUUGAAUUCCUUGUGUUUACUUUAUACGAAACCAGCCUAAAGAAAGGUUAAUUGGUUGAUACGGAUUAUUUAUUAAAUCUCAGACCAUCGCUGCAACACUAGCCAAGAGAAUUUAUAGUUGAAGUUGAUAUAUCAACAUGGACCGACCAGAUUGUAGUAUGGCUAGUGGAAAAUAAAGAUCAGCUAUCAUAUGGCAGUCCAUAAGCACGUGUGGUCGAGGUCCAUGACCUAAUAUAUAUUCAAGUGCGUGGUAUGAUCCACGGCAAGAAAGGUCAUGGGACGCCAUCAAGAUAUAAAUAUAGGACUGCAAUAUCUAAUGUAUGUGGCAUUGCCGAAGGCAAGAAGAAUCGAUAGCCAUGUAUGAGGUCCAUGAGUGUAUUUUGGCCGCAGAGACAUAGUUUGAUGAGAUUGAGAAACUCAUUGCGGCAAUGAUUAUUGAUCACAUCAUGAUCUUAGACACUCAUGAGACAAGUUAUGGACAUGUAUAGACGAGGUCUAUGACUCAACAUGGAUCGAUCAGAUUAGAGUAUGGCUGAUGAUAAUAAAGAAGGAUCAAACUGUGAUGGACAAGAAAUUGGUGCAUAUGGUCAAUAUACAUCCGUGUGGAGAAGAUGCACCAGAACAUAGGCUUACGACCUGAAAUUACAAGUUCAUGGUACCAUGCUCAGUCUAUAUUAUCUAUGAGUAUGUUUAGUCGAGAUCUGUUCGACAAAAGUUUAGAGUGGUCGACAGCAAAGACUCACGUCUUGUCCAUGCACACACGAGUUUUCAGAAAACAUGAGAAAAAGACCGGAGAGGUCAAAGUGAUCCAAGUAUGGUCCAGUGAUAACUCGGCCGAUUUGUUCACUAAGGCACUUCCUACCUGUACGUUCAGGAAGCUCACGCAUCAGAUUGGGAUGCGUAGGCUGAAAGACCUCCACUGAGGUUCGUAUCAGGGGGAGUAGUACGUGUUGUACUCUUUUUCCUUCAUCAUGUUUUUUUCCCACUGGAUUUUUCAUGAUAAGGUUUUAAUGAGGCAACAUUAAGUGUAUUACAAUCCCUAAAUGGUUAUGGCAUCCAAGGGGGAGUGUUAUAAAUCAAUUGAUGGAUGUCCAUAACCGGUCCGGUCCAUAACCGGUCCCUACACUUAGAGAGAGAGACGGCCCAACCCUAGAGAGAGAGAGGCGGCCGUGACCUUAGGAGAGAGAGAGAGGCGGCUUAUGCUUUGGAAAAAAAGAAACUCUAUUUCUUUUUCCUUGUAAUUGUUAUUUUUCCAUUAUUAUGUAUUAGUAGUUUUCCUAAUCCUAGUUGGUUUAGGUUUUGGAUACUUUCCUUUUUCUAUGACUUGUAAUCCUUAUAUAAAGAAACUCAUGUUAUGAUUAAUAAUACACAGAACUAUUCAGUGUUCAAUCUUCUAAUUAUAACAACUUUCAAAAUUUUCAAAUUUAGUUGAAAUAAUUCAUCAAUUUUCUAUAAACAAAAAAAAAUUCAAAUUUUAUGGACAAACUAAUUUAAUCAUAAACUUCCGUUGACUAUAAAACAGUUUAACCGUAACUUCAAUCAGAACUUAUAGUUGAAAAACAAUAAGUCUGUAAUGACUUUUAAAAUUGAUUUUUUUUGCACAAAUAUAAAUCAACAUUUUUUCAAAAUAUUGGAUUAUAAAUAUUGAAAAAUAUAUUUUUGAUAACUCAACACUAACAAAAUAAAAUUAUAAAUAAGAAAUAAUUCAAACAAAAUAUAAACAUUUUUAAUUUCGCAAUAGAAAAUUUUCUAUAUUUUCAUUUAUAUUAUAAAUAAUUAGUUAACAUAUCAUUAAUUGAAUAUCGAGUUAUAAAGAUCUUUAAUUGAGUAUCUAGUUAUAAGAAAAAAGUUAUUAGUUGAUAAAUUCUUCAUGAUCCUUUAUGUCUAUAAAUGUGUUAAAAGAUUAUUUCUGCAUUUAAUGAAAAUAAGAUUUACCGAAAACUGUUAUCAUCCAAAAUGUUGCUACAUCAAUGGAAUCAUGAAUAAUCCAUUUUUCAUUAAUUUUAUUCUUCUGGAAAUUAAAAAUAUAUAAUAAUAUUUUACAUACAAAAUACAAAUUUUGCCAACAAAAUAAUGAAACAUAAUCCAAUUAGAACUAAAUGAAUAGGCACUAAAAGUGACAUAAUUUCGUAAAUAUUAUCAUAAAUAAUUAUAAAACUUCUUGAUAGUUAUUUAAUAAAUAAUUAGUAAACUAAUAAUAUAUUCACUAACUAUUUUGUAAUAUAAAUUAAAUUAUAAAUUUCAUUUUGAAGAAAUAGUGAAAGGUUAUAUAUUAUUUAUUAUAUAUUUGUAUUUAUAAGUGUUAUAUUGGGCUUUUGGCAAAAAUGACUCAAAACUCAAAGUCAAACACAAAACUAAUCCAUGACUUUUUUUUUUGAAUUUUCAUUUGCCCUAUUCACCCCCAAAAGUUCGGAUUAUUCACGAAAAUACCAUUAUUUUUUAUAAACAAUUUCAAAAAUAGUUGUUUUACUCAAUCAUCCUCAUCUUCCUUUUUAUUUACAAUAUUGUCAUUGUUAUCAAUACAUCAACCACCAUGAACAAUAAUUUCAAGCUCUAAAUGCACCUAAAAUCAACAUCUAUAUUUUCAUAUUCUUAUUUCUUACAUACACAAACCAUUUCCCUUUCACUUCAUCUUUUAUUUCAUCCCAAAAUUCCAAUUUUUUAUUUCAAAAUUUAUAAGCUUACUAGAGUUACUCAAGUUCUUGAUUUUUGGCCAGGAACGAGUGAGUAACUUUCAUUAAGAAAUGAUGUGUGCUUGGAGAAGUUAAACAUGAACCUCAUUGAAUCUAAGAAUGAUAUUUGAAUUUUGUUUCCAUAUAUAUUCGCUAGAAGACUUCCGUGUAAAAAUUCUACAACAAGAAGACUUAUACGAAAGUCUUCUAGUCAAUGCAGAUGUUAGUUUUGCAAUCAACUUUAUGUCUUUUUUUAGAGAUGACUUCUCUCGAAGCCUUCCAACUUUAUUUUGUUAACAAAAAAACCCCGAAAAAUACCAGAGAAGACUUACCCUUAAGUCUUCUAGGAUAAAUAUGUUAGUUUUGCAAUUGACUCGUAAGUCUUCUCUAGUAUUUUCAAGAUUUUUUCAAAAACAAAAGUAAAACAAUAUUUACAAAGGAAAACUUCCAAAGAAGUCUGCUGUAGAGUAGACUUCUCUGGAAGUCUUCCUUUGUAAAUUUUCAAUUGCAAAAAUGACCUAAAUGAAAGACUUCAUAGAAGUCUUCUGGACGACUUCUUUGAAAGUCUUCUAUGUCAGUGUUUAGUAAAAUUUUAUUUUCUCUAAAAAUAUAAUGACUUUUUAACAUUUUCUUGUUAAUUCAUGUAUAUUAGUCAAUUUUGGGGCUCCUGAAUGAAAUUCAUAACUUAAUUAGUUUUAAUUAUGAGGUUACCAACAUUCAUGUUAAUUAAUGUUUCUAGCUAAUUCCAGAAGACUUGUUUGCAAGUCUUCUACGUUAAUUUUUGUAAAUUUGUUAAGUAACUUUUAGAUAUGUUUUUUCACUUUCAAAAGUGUUAAGUAACUUCAAGAAUAUUAAGUCAUAUGGUUUAAUGUGUCUUCUUAGAUCAUAAGAUAUACACUAUAACUUUCAUGAAAUUUAAUAGUUCAGUUUUCAUUUAAAAUUUGAGUUUUCCCGCUUAUAUUUUAAAUGCUCGCUUAAAAUUUAAGUCUUCCGAGGAUUUACCGGAAGACUUCUAGUGAAAGUGUUAUAUGUUCUUAUCUUAUGUAAUUUUUUAAUUUUUGUGAAUUUAACUAUGUUUUUUUAGAAGUCUUCUCCCUUAGUUUAAGAAAAUUUGACUAAUUUUUUGUGUUAUUGUGUUUUACUCUCGAAAUUGUAUAUAACUUAAUAACGUCAAGAUAAUACUGUACACAUGAACAUAUUUACAAACUUUUCAUUAAAUUCUCUUCAAAUUUGCAAAAGAAUCCAGAACUAAAAGAGUACACUUAUAAAUCACAACACAGUCCAUAAACAAAACUAUUACACUUGGAGUUAGAAAUCAUUCCUCCACAUAGAUAAGUUUGGACUCCACAUGACAUACACAUCGUAAAAUUUGAUAGUCCUCAUGUUCAGGUUUCAGGUUUUUGAAGACUCUGUGGAAGACUUCUAGGAAGCCUUCCACGAAGAUUUCAUGGAAGACUUCCAGGAAGUCUACCUCAAACUUGAAACUUCCAUCAGCUUCAACACACUCAGAUCUGCUUACCAGAUGAUCAGACAACUCCUCCACUUUGAUAGCUCCAGAUCUGAAAUUAAAUCAAAGAUUCAUAACAUAAUUUGGAGAAAAAUAAAAGUUUUAAGUAACAAGAGGUUACCAAAUGAAGAAAAAUCAUAGAUGGAGACUUACUAAAAUGCCCAGAUCUGUUAUGAAAAAGAAGACAUAAGAGAAGACUCCGUUAGAAGACUUCCAAGAAUUUUUCUAGUGCAUUAUAUAUUAGAAUACUUAUGAGAAGACUUCCCUGGAAGUCUUCCAAAGUUUGGCUCAGAUCUGAAAAGCCUGAAUAUUCAAAAUCAUUCAAACAGCUUCGAAACAUAGAAAAACCUGAAAAUAAGAUAAAAGCAUUAAGAAACAAAAGAGUUUUCAAAAAUUAUGAGCUUUAAGUAACAAAAAGUUACCAAAUGAAGUAAAAUCAGACAUGGAGACUUACCAAAAUGCUCAGAUCUGUUAUGAAAGAGGAGACAUGGUAGAAGACUACGCCAGAAAACUUAGUCCACUAAAUUUUAAAAGACUUCCGAGAAGAUUUCCGAGAAGACUUAGCCCAUUAAAUGUUGGAAGUCUUCCAAGUCUGUGUCAGAUCUGAAAAACCUGCAUAUCCAAAAGCAUUCAAAUAACUUCAAAACAUAGAAAAUCUUCAAAAUAAAGUGAGAGCUUAGAACAACAAAAAGAGUUUUCAAAAGAUAAGAGUUUUAAGCAACAUGAGGGUACCAAAUGAAAAAAGAAAUAUGAUUUAUAGAUCUACCUUUAAAGAAGUGUAAGAUGAGAACCAUAAAAUGAAAAACCUGCAAAAACAAAAUAAAUCAGUGAGAAAGACAUGAGAUAAAAAUGAAAAAUUGAUAUAAAGUUUAGUGUUUAUUGGUUCAAAGAGAUUAGAGAGAGGUUGAAGAGUUUUAGAAUGAAAAACAUUACAUUUUUGUUGCAGCCGGUUGAGACGAAGAGGGAGAAUGUGUAAAUUUUCUUUAUAUAGAGAGACAAAAAUUCCAAUAAGGUUAAAAAUUUUCGCGAAAGUCUUCUAGGCAUUAUUUGCUAGAAGACUUAAGUCACCUAAACCCUAAACUUAAAAUAAAUAAGUAAGUAGAAAAAAACACUUCAUAUAACUUAAAAUCAACUUUAAAAAUGUUUAAUAUAUACAAAACUAAACACAUAUAAGUUGAAAUUUAAUUUUUCAAAAAAAAGUUAAACUUCCAAAAUCUAACCCUAAAAAUACAAACAAUACUACAACAUAUGUUACCAAGCCCUAAAUCAAAAAAUACAAUGACACACUACAUUCACUCAUCUAUGUUGAAAACAAUUUAAUUUUACUAGAUCUUAAUUUAUAUCAUUUACAAAUGUUUAUAAUUACAUGAUUUCAAUUUUCUCCCAUCAAAAUAUUUUCUAUAAAACUUAUAAAUUAUUUUUAAAAUCUAUGAUAUGAGGAAGUCUUCUCGCAGACAAACUUACAGAACCACAUAAACACUUCCCAGAUGAUAUUCGUAAAAAUGAAUUCUGAUUUUUUUUGUUUGGUCAUAAGGAUCUGAUUGUAAUUUCACAUGCUUUUGAGUUACUUUUGCACUCGGUUGAAGUUUGGGUAUGCUUUUAAGUUUAAAAUCAAGUUUGUGUAAUUUUUGGCAAAUACCCCUGUUAUAUUUGUGCCAAAAAUAUUGAUUUAUAUUUGUGUAAAAAAAACAUCAAAUUUGAAAGCUAUUUUAGGCCAAUUGUUAUUCAACUUUAACUAUUGACUAUUGUUAUGACCAAAAUAGUAUGGUCAACAAAAUUUUAUGAUUAAAUAUGGCUUGUCAACAAAAAUAGAGUGUUUUUUUUUUGUUUACUAAAAAUUUGAUGUUUUAUUUCAACCAAAGUUAAAAAUUGAUGACCAAAUGACAUUUUCCAAUUCAAAAAUCAAAUUAAUUUUAAAAAAGGGUUUGCCAACGCUGUAAAGUUCUGCAUAAAUAGUUUUUGGUUCCAUGCAAUGAACAAACUAAAGUUAAAACAAAAUAGUUUUUUCGACAUCCGGAUAAUUAUGCUAUUACAAUCUAUAAAAAAUAUUACAUACACGAAAAUUUUACAUUUGACAAUUCUAUCAGUCCUAUAAGAAUUUAUGUAUGACUGCAUUAUUAUGAGCCAUCCUAUGAGAUUUCUUAUAACCUUUUUACUCUAUAAUACGCAUAAUUUAUAUUUUCUGGGGUUUGAACUCCAUACCUUAUAGUGAAGAAACAUUAAUGAAUCUUUACUUAAGUCGUUGGACUAAAAUGACUUUCAAAAGACAAGAUAGUUUUAUCAAUAAAAAAUUCUAUGAAAACAUGAUACAAUAGUGGUAACGGGUAGCCGAGUGUCAAAACCUAUUUUAACUCCACUAACGUUUCAAAAUUUCAAUAAAUAUUUUGAUUAUAAAGAAGUCUAUCUUCAUCUAAAUUGUAUAUUUUAAAUCUAUAAUUUUUAGGAUAAGAAUUUAUUCUAGAGCAUUUAUUUGCAUAAAUAACCGGUUAAUUUAUUGUUCUCAUUGAAAAUAUUAACUCCAUUUUUAAUCCCAAUCAAAGUUACAGUUGAAUAAAUAUAAUUUUGUUUUGUACAGUAUAUAUCAUUGUCUAUUUAAUGAUAUAUGCAAAAAUUUAUUCAAGUUGUUAUUUAGGACUGGUCGUGGAAGCUACUUGUUAAUGUUUAAAGACUUCUACUCCAAGAUUUAGAGUUUGAAUUUCAGACUUGCAAUUUCUUGGAGAUUAUAAUAUGCAAUAUUUUGAAAGUUCCAUAAAACUGUAGGUAGAGCCGUUCGUUGUGGUUAUCUACUUCGGAGAGAGUUUGUCCAUCGAGGAUGUCGUGCAUGCUAAACCGUCUGCCAAUCCAAGUGUUUCAGAGAGAGCUUCAUCGUAAAAUCAUUAUUUAUGUUGUAGGUAGUUGAUCAUAAUAUGUAGGAAUUUUAGAUUAUAUGAUGAUGUAUUGUGUGCUAUUCGGUGUUAAAAAAAAACUUAGGGACUAGUACUUAAUUCAGUUUCAGUUAAAAAGACAUUCUAAUUGGCAUUAAAUAUUUCUCAUUAUACAUUCAUGACAUGAACCAAACACGAUUUGAUUUGUUCUCAAGAGAAAAAGAAUAUAUAUACAUUUGGUUUCUUUAUACCUCGGGUUCAAAAUCUCAUUUGUUACAAAAUUUUAAAUACUAGAUAUGUGAAAAGAUUAUAGACUUAGAAUUUGGAAUAUCCACAGUGAACAAAAAAAUAUAUUAAAUAAAUAUAACUUUGUUUUGUAUAUAUCAUUAUUGAAUAGGUGUUUUCCUGCACCAUGUGCAGUAGUAAAUUUUUAAUUUAAUUAUAUUUAAAAUAAAAUUUUAUUAUUAUUGUAGUUGUAGAUUUUAUCAUUUUUACCAAUAUUUUAAUAUAAAUUUUGAUUUAAUUGAAGAUAAAAUAAAAUAUUUUGUUUAUUUUAAAUUAUAUUUAAGAAUAGAUAUGUAUAUAUUUAAAAUUAUAAUCUUAGAAAGAUUUUUAUCUAUUUCUUUUGGAAAAAAAUGUAUUAGAUCAACUUGUAUAAACUUAAUAAAAAUAAUUUGAUAUAAAAGUUUUAUAAUUAUCAAAAAAUAAAACUAAGCAGUAGUUCUAAAAAUUUGUAGAUAUAUCAAAGAAACUAAUAAUAUUACGACUAAAUUUUUAUAAUUUUUUUAAAUUGUAAAAAAAAUAUAUUUUUUUAAAAUUUAUAAAAAAAAUUGAAAGUAUUUUUAAUAAUAAAAUUGUGUAAUUAUAAAAAGUAAAAAUAAAUAAUAUUUCAAUAAUAUUGUAAUUAUAAAAAUUAAAAAUAAAUAAUAUUUCAAAAAUAUUAUUAGAUUUUUAUUAUUAUAUUAUUUAAUGUCGUAUUUGAAUAGAUUUGCUUUAAUAAUAAUGUAUAACUAGGUGUUUGCCCACAAUUUUGCUGGUAGUUAUAUUAUAUAAAGAAAUAUAUAUCUUUUUUACACUGUUAUAAUUUUUGAAUAGUAAUUAAAAAUUUAUAAUUUUAAUUUUUAAUUUCAAAUAUUUGGAUAAUCAAAAAUUUCACUAUAUAUUUUUAGAAGAUAUGUGAGAUUUAAAAUACUUCAAAAACAUAAAUAUUAGCCUAAAAAUAUUUCUCUUACAGAAAAUAAUAUUAUAACUAAUUUAGAUAAUUGGUUGUAUAAAUACUUUAUAUUUUAGUUUAACACAUGAAAAACCAAAAAUGCUCUAGCACCCAAGAAAAAAAAAAGUGACCAAUACAAUAAUUGGAGGCUUUUAUCAUGGAAAAUCUUUUGUAAAUGGUUUUGUGUGGACUUUAAAAACAGAAAAGUUCAAAUAAUUCCUUACCUAUAAAUAUAAUUCUUUUAUAUAUAAUAAUAUAUAACCAUUAAAUUUAUUUCUAUAAAAAAAAUGCUAAAGUAUUUUAUUUAAUUAUAUAUAACUAAUUGAUAAAAAUAAAGAAAUUGAAAAAACAUAUAUAUUCUUUCUCUAAUUCUAUUAUUAGUUACCAUAAAUAAUUAUUUGUAAUAUCAUUAAUGUUAUUUGGUAAUUUGUAUUAAUUAGUUCUAGAGUUACCUUUUAUUUUUAGAUCAGAUUAAAAUAAUAAUUAAUAAAUGUUAACAACCAAUCAAAUUAUAACUAUUUUUAAAAACAUAACCUAUUAAAGACACAUAAUCAAAAGUCAAUUAAGUGGUUUCUCAAUUAAUAUAUAGUAGGAUUUAUCUCUUUAAAACUAGGGAUUUUUGGAAAAUUGACUCAAAACAUGAAGUCAACCACAAAACUAACCUAUGUUUUUUUUGGAUUUUUCUUUUGCCCUAUCUCGUACAUGUAAGUCGUCUCGGGAAAACAUGUUAGUUUUGCAUUUGACCAGAAUGUGUCAGAAAUUUGAUUUUUCCUGGACGAGUUAGUCGUCCAGUAGAAAAUUAAAAAAUUAAUAUUUUUUUUCUAAACGACUUACAUGUAAAUCGUCUCAGGUUAGUUUUGCAAUUGAAAUAUUUAACAAAAAGGAUUUUCUUUUCUAGACGACUUACACGGAAGUCGUCCUUACAUGUAAGUCGUCCAGGAUUUUAUUCCGAGAUUCUGAUCAAACCUUGCUUAUCUUGGACGACUUACAGGUUAGUCGUCUAGAAAAAAAACUCGAGACGACUAACGUGUAAGUCGUCUAGAAAAAAACCAAAUAUUUUGUUUAAUAAUUCAAUUGAAAAACUAAGCUGAGACGACUUACAAGUUAGUCAUCUAGAAAAAAACAAAAUAUUAUUUUUUUUAAUUUUCUACUGGAUGACUUACUUGUAAGUCAUCUCGAUAUUUUUUUUAUCAAACAAAGGUGGACGACUAACCUGUAAGUCGUCUAUGUUAAAAAUCAAGGGAUUUUUGGAAAAUUGACUCAAAACAUGAAGUCAACCACAAAACUAACCUAUGUUUUUUUUGGAUUUUUCUUUUGCCCUAUCUCGUACAUGUAAGUCGUCUCGGGAAAACAUGUUAGUUUUGCAUUUGACCAGAAUGUGUCAGAAAUUUGAUUUUUCCUGGACGAGUUAGUCGUCCAGUAGAAAAUUAAAAAAUUAAUAUUUUUUUUCUAAACGACUUACAUGUAAAUCGUCUCAGGUUAGUUUUGCAAUUGAAAUAUUUAACAAAAAGGAUUUUCUUUUCUAGACGACUUACACGGAAGUCGUCCUUACAUGUAAGUCGUCCAGGAUUUUAUUCCGAGAUUCUGAUCAAACCUUGCUUAUCUUGGACGACUUACAGGUUAGUCGUCUAGAAAAAAAACUCGAGACGACUAACGUGUAAGUCGUCUAGAAAAAAACCAAAUAUUUUGUUUAAUAAUUCAAUUGAAAAACUAAGCUGAGACGACUUACAAGUUAGUCAUCUAGAAAAAAACAAAAUAUUAUUUUUUUUAAUUUUCUACUGGAUGACUUACUUGUAAGUCAUCUCGAUAUUUUUUUUAUCAAACAAAGGUGGACGACUAACCUGUAAGUCGUCUAUGUUAAAAAUCAAUUGCAAAACUAACCUAAAUGGACGACUUCCUAGAAGUCGUCCAGACGACCUCCGUGGAAGUCGUUUGCGUCAAUGUUUAAUAAACCUUCAUUUUCUCUAAACCUAUAAGGACUUUUUAAUAUUUUUUUGUUAAUUCAUGUAUAUUAGUCAAUAUUAGGGCUACUGAAUGAAAUUUAUAAUUUAAUUGGUGAUAUUUAUGAGGUUACCAACAUUCACGUUAAUUAAAGUUUCUAACUUAUCCGAGAACACUUUCGUGGAAGUCUUCUAUGCUAGUUUUUAAGUCUUCUACCCUAGUUUUUGAAUAACUUGUAUAUUUAAGAGUGAUAAGUAACUUCAAGAUAUGUAAAACUCAUAUUUUCAAAAUAUGUUUUCUCCCUUAGUUUUACUAAAUUUGACUAAGUUUUUCAACACAAACUUGUAAAAAAUGUGAUAAGCUUUAAGUAGUUACUAUUGUUUGUUUUCAUCUCUUAAGUAUUAUUGUUAUAGACACCAAUGAUGAUUAUUGUUAUGAGUUGGAAGAAGGGUUAAAAUGUUUCUUAAAAUGUUGUAUCAAUAUGAGGCUACCAACAUUCUUGUUUAUUAAGAUGAGAAGAAGACCAUUGGAGUUUAUUAUUGCAUAUGGGAGAUCCAAAGAUAAGAAAAAGGCUAUUGAAGUAUAUUAUUUCAUUGAGUUGUAAAUGUGUAAACACAUUGUUAGCACAUAUAUUACAUCUUGGAAAACAUUAUUACUGAUUUUACAAAAAAAUUCACAACUAAAAGAGUAGACAUGCAAAUCAAAAAACAGACCACAAAUAAAACUAUUAUAGAUCAUUCAUCUACAAAGACAAGCUUGGACUUCACUUGAUAUGAAAGAAGACUUCGUCAGAAAACUUCUUGGAAGUCGUCUGGAAGACUUCCUGGAACUCGUCCAGCGCAUUAUAUUUUAGACGACUAACAGGUAAGUCAUCACAGAAGUCUUCCAGAUCUGAAAAACACGCAUAUCAAAUCCAGAUCUGAAAAACCUGCAUAUCAAAAAACAUUUAAAAGGUUUAAAAACAGAGAAAAUGAGUGGAAGAUUAGAUAAAUCUACCUUUAUAGAACACACAAAAAUACAUAUUUAAAAUUAAUAGAUCUACCUUUAAAUGAGUGGAAAAUGAGAACCAUCUGAUUAAAAACCUGCAAAAAAAAGAUAGAUUAGUGAGAAAGACAUUAGACAAAACUGAAAAAUUCAUAUAAAGUUUGGUGUUUUCAAGUCAAAUAGAUUAGAGUGGGUUAGGAGAGUUUUAGUUCGGGAAAAAAGUUAGAACUUUAUACAACAGAAAGUUACCAAAUGAAGAAAAAUCAGACAUAAAAAUUUAUCAAAACGCUCAGAUUUGUUAUGAAAGGGAGAGACAUGGGAGAAGACUCCGUCAGACGACUUCCGGAAAGUCUUCCAGACGAGUCGUCUGGAAGACUUCCUGAAAGUCGUCUAGCGUAUUAUAUUUUAGACGACUAACAUGUAAGUCGUCCCAGACGUCUUCCAGAUCUGAAAAACCUGCAUAUCCAAAUCCAGAUCUGAAAAACCUGCAUAUCCAAAAACGUUCAAAUGGCUUAAAAACAGAGAAAAUGAAUGGAAGAUUAGAUAAAUUUAUUUUUAUAGAACACAUAAAAAUACAUAUCUAAAAUUGAUAGAUCUACCUUCAAAUGAGUGGAAGAUGAGAACCAUGUGAAGAAAAACCUACAAAAAUAAGAUAAAUUAGUGAGAAAGACAUGAGACAAAAAUAAUAAAUUGAUAUAAAGCUUAGUGUUUAUAAGUUCAAAGAGAUUAGAGAGAGGUUGAAGAGUUUUAGAAUGAUGAACAUUACAUUUUUGUUGCAGCCAUUUGAGAGAAGGAGAAAACAUGUAUAAAUUUUUCUUUAUAUAAGGAAACAAAAAAUCUAAUUAGGUUAAAUAUUUUUGAUUCAGAUGACUUCCUAGACGGCUUACUUGUAAGUCACCCAGAAGACUUUAAUAUUUUUAGCGGAAACUAAAAUAGUUUUAGCAGCAAACUAAAAUAGAAGACUUCCUAGACGACUUACAAGUAAGUCACUGGUUUAAAUUAUUUAAGCGGGAAAAUAAUUUUAAAAAAUAUUUUAGGAAGGAAUAUUUGGUCGUCUGGUUUAAAUUAUUAACCAUACGACUUACAAGUUAGUCGUCUAGACCCUAAACAUAACUCCUAAACUCAAUUAACUAACUAAACACUUCGUAAAAUCAAAUUAAACUUCAAAAGUGUUUACUAUACACAAAAUAAACAAUUAUAGGUAAAAAUUUAAUUUUUCAAAAAAACAUUCAUGCUUUCCAAAAUCUAACCUUAAGAAUACAUACAAUACUACAACAUAUGUUGUCAAACCAUAAAACCAAAUAAUAUCAUGGUUAAUUACUUUCACUCAUCUAUGCUGAAAACUAUUCUAUUUUAUUAUAUCUUAAUUUACAUUGCUUAAAACUGUUUAUAAUUACAUGAUUUUAAUUUUUCAUUUGUCAAAAUAUUUUUUAAAAACUUUAUAAAUUAUUUUUAAGAUCAACUACACCAAGUAAGUCGUCUAGACGACUUCCAGCAUCUCAUACGACUCACUGGGGCUAUAUUCGUAAAAAUGGCUUAUGUUUUUUGUUUGGUCACAAGGGACUGGCCGUAAUUUCACAAGGCUUUUAAGUUAGUUUUGCAUUUGAUUCAAGUUUGAGUAUAUUUUUGCAAUCAAAGUCAAGUUUUGAGUCAUAUUUGGUAAAUCCCCUUAAAACUAAGGAUGAAUUUGGUUAAGAUAAACAUAAAAAUAUGUAUUAGGAAAAUAGUAGUUUAAGCGAUUUUUCUCAUAAUUUGCUCCAAAUCACACUUUCUCACUCAUUUUGUUUAAUUUAGUGUUUAACAUAAAACUCAAAUGGGUUAAGCAAACAAAUUAUUCCUUAAAUUAUCUAUGAUCAUCACACUAUUUUAUCAAACACUAACUCAUUCAACCAAAUGUUUUUAAUUAAAACUAAUCAUAGUUUACAUAUCUUUUAAAAUUAUUGUUUUAUUUUUUUAAAUUAAAUUAAAACAUACCUAUAUUAAUUAAAUCUGAUUAACUAAUAAGAAAAAAUAAUAUUUGAAUUUUUUAAAUAACCAAAUGUCGUUAUUUUAGGCAUAUAUACUUAAUAUUAAUGUGAGAUCCAAUAUUUUAUGAAAUAUUUUUAAAUAUUAUAGCGUAAAAAGUACAUCUCAUUAAUUUUUAAAUAUUUUUUUCUUACUUUCAAUUUACAUUAUAUUUUCCAUCUUUGACUUUAACAAUUGUGGAGAUUGUCAUUUUAUUGAAUUUCCUUACUAAAUUUAUCUUAACGUUUUAAACAAACAUAAAACUAAUUAGUUCACAUUUAUAGUAACACAAAAAAAGUACAUGUACCUCGAUAAACAAAUAAAAAUUAAAUAUAUAAGAAUAAAAAUACCAAGAACACAACAAACAUAUUUUAUUAUUCUUCUCUCUUGUUAUUUUAUUUAUGUCUGCUUUUUUUUUUCUAUUAAAAAUAAGCAUGCUAAUUUUAUUAUAAUCCAAGCUAUAUGAAUUAUAUUAAUAGAGUAUUAAAUCUAGAAAAAUCAUGUGAAAAAUACUUUGAUUAAUAUAAUUAAAUUACUUACCAUAUAAUAAAUUAAAUGAAUUACCAAAUAAUAUAAUUUUAAAUGACUUACCAUAUAACAAUAAUAAUUUAUCUGUUUAUAUUAAUAGAUGAAUUAAAUAAAUUUUUUCUUGAUUAAUAUACGUUUAAAUAACUUACCAUAUAAUUUUUAUGUUUUAAAAUAUAAAAUAUUUUAAUCAUUUCUAAAAGUGAUAACGCAUAUAUGAUCUCAUUGUCAUUGAAAAAUUAUUGAAAUUUUUUUGAAUUAUAUAUUUGAUUAUUUUGCAUUCAUUUGACACAUUUUUAUAUUAUAUAUAUAGUGAAUGAGUGAAUUUAAUUAAUAUUAUUAUGUUUAGAUUAAUUAGUUUUCUGAAAUCUAUGAUUUAUUUUAUUAACUACUAAUAUAAACAUAAUAAAAACCGUUUUUAAUUAAAUAAAUGAAAAAUAAUAAACUAUCAACCAAUUAAAUUAUAACAAUUAAUUGGAAAGCUCUUCUAUGAGCGACACGUCAGCAUAAAUCACUAAAGUGACUUCUCAAUUAAUAUAUAUGAGGAUUUAUUAUCAUAUUUUAAAAAGAUUAUCAAAAUUUUCACUAAGCAUUAAAUGUAAUUAUCCAUGUCACAUUUAACCAUAAGCCAUGUCGCAUUUAUUUAGUAAAAAUGAUUGUAAAGAUGACAUGUAUCAAAAUCACUUUGCAAAUAAUAUCUUGUGAUUGAAUGUUAUGUAAAAAUUUAAGUAGGUAACUUGGUGACUAAUUAAUUCAGUUCCAAUUUAAAAAGACUCCAGUUGGCAUUAACAUUUACAACACAAACCGAACAAGAUUUGAUUUGUUCUCAUGAGAAGUUAUAACUCUUUUCUCUAGCUCAAAAGGCCAACUUUUGAACAAAGCAAUCACGAGAAACCUUUGAAUAUCUCUUACUUUGGAUCCGUUCCUUGUUCACUUGGUUUCUUCUUUAACUUCCAAAACACAACUCGUAUCAUACAUAACCUCUCUGGUGCUUUUCCAUCUUCUCGUGUCUUUUUCCCCGGAAAAUUUUCUCCCUCCUCUGUUGAUUUUCCCGGAAACUUUCCUUGUUCUUCUAUCUACUAGGAAAAAAGAAAGAUGAAACCCAUUUGUUUCCUUCUCUGUUUCUGUUUCCUUCCUGUAAAAGUCUCCUCCUUUUGACAUAAUCUUUCUUGGUUUAAAUUAUUAAAUACUCUCUUUGAACAUUUCUUUUCCCUGAUUCUGUUUUUGUUUUUUCCGAGAAAAUUAAUGAAACCGCGGCUAUAUUAUCAGGAGAUCCUAUCGAAUCCAUGUUUCUGAAUCAGUUCAUGCACUUCUUGAAAUCUAUUCACACUUUCAGAAGGAAAACCCUAGUUUAACAAAACCCUAGAUCCUCUGCUUUCCAAACCCUUCCUUGUGAUCCAAGCAAACUCUCCUCUGAUUUCUCAACAUGCCUGGUUCAUGUUUCAACCCGUUUCGACGGUCUCUAAGAUCCAAGUUCCCUCCAGAGCCUUCCUUCCCGGCCUUAUCCGCUAACCCGUCUUCCUCAAAAACCAAUCGGUAUGCAGAAAGUGAGACGAUGGAGAAGAAGAGAUUCGACAGUAUGGAGUCUUGGUCGAUGAUUCUUGAGUCCGAGAACGUGGAGACAUGGGAAGCUUCUAAAGGUGAAAGAGAGGAAUGGACCGCUGAUCUUUCUCAGCUUUUUAUCGGAAACAAGUUUGCUUCCGGAGCGCACAGCAGAAUCUAUAGAGGGAUCUACAAACAAAGAGCCGUUGCUGUGAAGAUGGUGAGGAUCCCUACACACAAGGAAGAGACAAAGGCUAAGCUCGAACAGCAGUUUAAGUCCGAGGUUGCUCUGCUUUCUCGUCUCUUUCACCCUAACAUCGUCCAGGUCUAAAAUCUCUAUCUUCUUACCAAAGUCUAAACCUAAUUUUAUUUUAUAAAGUAAGAUCUUGGUUAGAAUGAAAAAAGAACAGAACAAAGAUCUUGUCUUUAGAACAUAUAAGUCUCUAACCACUAGUUUAUUUUAAAACAUAGUUUAUCGCGGCGUGCAAGAAACCUCCCGUAUACUGCAUAAUAACUGAGUAUAUGUCCCAAGGAAAUCUCCGAAUGUAUCUAAACAAGAAAGAGCCUUACUCGCUAUCUAUCGAAACUGUACUAAGGCUGGCUCUAGACAUCUCAAGGGGAAUGGAGUAUCUUCACUCACAGGGUGUUAUCCACAGAGACCUAAAGUCCAACAAUUUGCUUUUGAACGAUGAAAUGAGGGUUAAAGUUGCAGAUUUUGGGACUUCUUGUCUUGAGACGCAAUGCAGAGAGGCCAAGGGUAAUAUGGGAACUUAUCGAUGGAUGGCUCCGGAGAUGAUCAAGGAGAAGCCUUACACUAGAAAAGUUGAUGUUUAUAGCUUUGGGAUCGUUCUAUGGGAACUCACCACUGCCUUGCUUCCGUUCCAAGGCAUGACUCCAGUGCAAGCCGCAUUCGCAGUCGCUGAAAAGGUCAAGUCUCUACAUCUCCAUUUUUGUUCUUCUUUUAAACUAAACUAUUAUAUUAAUUCAACCUAAAUUGGAAAUUGAUUAACGGUUACAUGGUACAAAUUGAAUGAAAAUAAGACCGAUCAUAAAGCAGCUCUAAAGAAAGCCCUAGUUAACCUGAGGGUUUGGUUGUCCUGGCUGCCGAGUCCAGGGUCAGUUCUGGGUACAACCGACUAAAACAUUCGCAUUGACCUCCGAAUUUUAAACAGCUAAUAUAUAUAUAUACCAUAUGGUAUUCAAAUUGUCAAAAACAAAUAUUUAGAUUAAACUGAAAAUGAUAUGGCCAUCUAAAUUUCAUAUUUGGCUCUGGUCGAGCCCGCCAAAACCACCUCACUCUGCUUUUUAUUCCACUCUGCCCAUCUCAUUUACAUCUAUGAAACUAGUAUUUGUGAUUAACAUUGCCAUUGUGUGCUGUGAUUGCUCGGGAUGCAAGUCAUACUUGAAUUAUGUUACGUGAGACCUUAAAUAUUUCUCUAUUAAUAUGAGCAGAACGAAAGACCGCCUUUGCCGGCAAGCUGUCAACCAGCAUUAGCUCACCUGAUCAAGAGGUGUUGGUCGGAAAACCCUUCCAAGCGGCCGGACUUCUCAAACAUUGUGGCGGUGCUAGAGAAGUAUGACGAGUGUGUCAAAGAAGGCUUGCCUUUGACGUCACACGCAAGCCUCACGAAGACCAAAAACGCCAUUCUUGAUCGUCUUAAAGGCUGCGUCUCAGCCAUCAGCUCAAAAUCGUCUUCCUCUGUUCCUGUAAAUGCUUAGUAAUUCAAAGUUGUUUAAGUAACAUAAUACUCUCUUCUUCUUUUUUUUGUAGAGGUUACUAUUCUUCUUCUUCUUCUUUUUCUAUUAUUGGUGAAAGUGUUCCUUUCAGUUUGUGCAAUGCAAAGCUCUUAUGUCAGUUAUGUGAACUUUGUUGUGAAUAAUAGCGAGGUAAAAGGUUUACAUAUAUUAAAAUCGAUUGCUUUAUUUCUGAGUGGUAACAAAGAGAGAGUCGACGUGAGAUGUGAGUGAGAAGAGAGAGUUAUGAGUUGCAAGACUUGUUUCUCAUAUUAUUGCUUUCUUAUAUCCAUAAAGCCAAGAGGAGAAGAGGCUAUUUAUACUACACAUAAGUCGGUUGCUUUACUAGAAAAAGACAAAAUACUAAGAAGUGAUAGAUGACAUGAUUUCUGUAAGAAAGACAUGUGUCCAAGAUGUAUAAUCAUCUUAUUUUGAUCUUUAUCUUCUAACACUCCCCCUUGAUUAUCCAUCUUGUGUUACGUAGUGCCUCGUUAAAAACCUAAUUAUGGAAAAAUCCAUUAGAAAAAAAAUCACGAUGACGAAAAAAAAGUACACUGUCGUAAUCUCCCCCUGAGAAUAGUAGACAUAGAUUUCUUGUCACAUGCCAUGCAAAUGCCGCAUUCCGAUACCAUAGACGUGUUUUCUCGAAAUGUUGUAGUCGGAAGAACUGUUGUGAACAAGUCAGCCAGAUUGUCGCAUAACUGUAAAUACUCGAUGUCCACCUCUUUAUUUUUCUCGAACUCUCUUAUGUAUGAGAAAAAUCUUCGAGAAAAAUCUCAGAGGGAUAUGCUUUGUUAUAUCGCUUUUGAUGUAGCCUUCUUUCAGUUGAGCGACACAAGCCGAAUUGUCUUCAAAUACUUUCGUCGGCUCUUUCUUGUUAACUAUUUCGCUUGAUUCUUGUAUGUGGCGACUCAUUGACCGAAGCCACACACAUUCUCGACAUGCUUCGUGAAGCACAAUAGUUUUUGCUUGAUUCGAAGAUGUCGCAACCAGAGUUUGUUUCUGGGACCGUGAAGAAAUCGCGGUUCCACCAAUUGUAAAAACAUAGCCGGUUUGUGUUCGACUUUAUAAAUAUCAUGUAUCUGCAAAACCAUACCAAACUCUGGGUUUCUAGGAUAAAUCAAUCCUAAAUCAAUACUUACCUUGGAGAGAACAGAUAUGUUCUCGAUGCCGUUAUAAUUUCCAUAAAUAGGAAAUGAGCUAUAUCUCGCAAAGACAUUAGUGUCUAAAAGUAUAUUUAAUCAAACAUAACUCGCAAGAUAUAUAAGCUCAUAUAUGCUUUAUUACCAUUAGCAUCUCCAAAGUACUUAUUUAUAUAAGAUCUUACCAGGAUCUUUUAAAAUAUCAUCUCUUUUAACAUCGAGAGAUCUAUUUACCAUUGGAGUACUCAACGGAGUUGCUUUAUCCAUAUAAAAGUGUUUUAACAACCUUUUCGUAUACUUUGAUUGAUGCACAAAUACUCCUUUUCGGAUCUGCUCUAUCUGGAGCCCAAGACAAAACUUUAGUAUCAUCAAUCCAAUUAUGUUCAGGUCAUCUACAUAUACAGCAAUGAUCACAAAGCCAUAUGACGAUUUCUUUAUAAAAACGCAUGGACAUAUCGCAUUAUUCAUAUAUCCUUUACUCAAAAGAUAUUCACUUAAGCGAUUAUACCACAUGCGUCCGGAUUGCUUUAAUCCGUGAAGUGAUCGCUGUAACUUGACCGAACAAAUCUCCCUGAAUUUUUUACCACCUCUCUCUCUCUCUAGGGCUGGGCCGUCUCUCUCUCUAAGUGUAUGGGCUGGUUAUAGACCGGGCCGGUUAUGGAUAUCUGACUACCCACUUAUAGCCAACAAGAUUUAUAUUCUCAGGCGUUAUGACUAUAGGUCCAAAAUGUUUUAACAACCUUUUCGUAUACUUUGAUUGAUGCACAAAUACUCCUUUUCGGAUCUGCUCUAUCUGGAGCCCAAGACAAAACUUUAGUAUCAUCAAUCCAAUUAUGUUCAGGUCAUCUACAUAUACAGCAAUGAUCACAAAGCCAUAUGACGAUUUCUUUAUAAAAACGCAUGGACAUAUCGCAUUAUUCAUAUAUCCUUUACUCAAAAGAUAUUCACUUAAGCGAUUAUACCACAUGCGUCCGGAUUGCUUUAAUCCGUGAAGUGAUCGCUGUAACUUGACCGAACAAAUCUCCCUGAAUUUUUCCUUUCAAUGCCCCUGGCAUUUUCAAUCCCUCAGGGAGUUUCAUACAUAUAUCGUUAUCCAAUGAUCCAUACAAAUAUGUAGUCAAAACGUCUAUAAGAUGCAUUUCAAGAUUUUUAGAUGCCAUUAGGCUCAUCAAAAAUCUAAACUUAAUUGCAUCCAUUACCGGGGAAUACGUUACUCAAAAUCAAUUCCCGGUCUCUGAGAAAAACCUUGGGCAAUUAAUCAGGCUUUAUAUCGUGUUACUUUUCUCAUGACUACCCACUUAUAGCCAACAAGAUUUAUAUUCUCAGGCGUUAUGACUAUAGGUCCACUAUUUUGCUCAUCCAAUUUCAUUUUCUUUCGGGGAAUUUUUAAUCUCUAGAACCCGCUAGUCUCCCCCUCUUUAACUGAAACCUAGGCUCAUUCAUUUUGUCACCAUUAGUUUAUUCUUUAGGAACAUCAACUCUUGAUGGAACAUUUCAGCGGGUAUAUCAUGUCGUACCUGUGAACACAUUUGGUAACUGGUUCGCCAAAUUAUGCAAAUGCACAAUUUCCUGAAUUUUAUGUUCUCUUUAAUUCAUAGGGGGGUCAAGGUGUAACAACGAUUGUGUACACCAUGUAAUAUCUUUAGGAAUUUCUCUAAUUCCUCUCCUAACACUGGAAAUUCAUUCUCAUUAAAAUGACAAUCGGCGAACCGUGCCAUAAACAUAUCACCAGUUACUGGUUCAAGACACCUUAUAUACGGCUUGUUCUAACUCUUACAGAGUUUUAUACAUUCCCGAGAGCAUUUUUAACUCUCCAGGGACUACUAAAUAUCAAGAUGCAACUCAACUCGUUUAUGUCCUGCCAGACAUUUCAAUAUACUGCAUCUAUUUUAAAUUUCUCCAGUGACCUUGGAACAAGCCGUUUUUCAUACUUCAAGGUCAUCUUUCAUUUUAUUCUCUGGAGAAAUAUAUACCUUGGACUUUUGGUCCAAACAUUUCUCGUUUUUCUAACGAGCUUUAUAUCAAAUUGAUGGCCAUUCAAUUCACUCUACCCUCAUACAUAGAGGUAGAUUCAUAAUCCUUAUUUAUAUAGUGUUUUUUCAUUAUUGUCGACAAUCUAUUUUAUCUUUUGUUCCAUCUUUUUACCCGUACUGAUAUGGUUAAUCGAGAUCUCUUUAUCAUCAUCGAUGAUUUACCAGGUACCUGACUGUAAUAUUAACCAUAUCAACGGUCUCACCACGAGAUUCAUCCUCAAUUCAUAUAUUUGCUCCUUUUCGAGGACUCUUUGGAACCAAAGUGGUCUAUCACGUCUCCAGCGUGUUAUAGACUCAUAUAUCGUCCUUUUAUGACACAUUUUCUUAUUGGAGCAUUUUCGGCUGGAAUAUGAGAUAUCAUUAUUUAAUCAAAAUGUUUGGCAGCCAUUUUAUAAAUGGAUUAUCCUACUUUUCAUUGUAAUCCAUUUCACAUAUCUCAUUCCAUCAGCUUAUCAUAUGCUUCUAGCAAACUUGCGAGCAUAUUUUUAAGUAUCCAUAUACUUUAUCCUUUUGGAUUGUAUAUGUCUUUAUUACAUGCACAACUGCAUUAUACUCAAUUAUGGGGAUCAUCUUACUUGAUUUACUUUAUCAAGUUCUUUUUCAAGUGCGAACAUAAUUUCUCAAUGUUCCAUUCCCUAGGAUUCUUUAAUUCUCUCCCUCGAGAUGAUGACAUUCCAUGUCUACAAUCUCGUACUGAAUCCCACUCUAGAACCAAUAACAUAUUCAGUUUUUCCCAUUUGUGAUGAAUUAUGUUUCAAAUCCUUUAGAGUGAGAUCCUAAUUUGGGAUCUGGUUAAAGAAAUCACUUCUAGUGAACUUGCUUGAUGAUUCAUCACCCAUGAUGGUUUCCUUUAUUUUCAAUAUUUCACAAUAAUGUUGAUAACAUUAUUGGAGAUGACUAUAUAUCAGUAAACUUCAGGUUUAUCACCGUUUGUAAUUUUGCUAUCUUUUUUUUAUGCAUGUCUUUUCAUCAUAAGCUCUUCUAUAGCCAAUAAUAUGUUUAUAUUACUAGAUUGUACUAUACUUAUUUAGUUUGAGAGAGGAAAGAUAUUUGUUACAUUUAGUAGUCAUGUACGAUGACCCAAUAUCUGCCAGGUAUAUCUAUCUCCAUCCUGAAUCUCAAAAUCUUAUUCCGGAAGAUAAUUCUCAUAUCACAUCGAUAUUUUAUUUUUAUUUUCUGGACUAACCAGAAAAUCUGAAUCAUCAAGAUGAGUAUUCAAGCUAUGAAAAAUGGUUCGGGCUCAUAAGAGACGAAGUUUAAUAUACUUCCUUUCUCUUUUUCUUUUUGAUUUUCGAUAUAAAUCGGCUAAAUAUUUGGCGUACGACAACUACGUACCCAAUUUUCUUUCUGGCCGUAUCUAUAGCAAACCUUUUCUGUUUGCCUUUUAUCACCCGGCCACUUUUAUUUUCGUGGAAGUUCUCAUUAUUUUCAUAGGGAUGGAAUCUUCUUCCUCGUCCUCUUCCACGACCAUGAUAGCGGUUUCAACCGCAUCUACACCCUCGUCCUUUUCUAGUAGGACCGACUUGAUGGUUUAGUAUCAUGAUUUCAUUUUAUUUUUCAGUUUACUCGGAGGAUUUACAUCAACUCUGAUCCUUUCUUUCAAGGAUUUAACUAUCAAAGAUCUUCUAUAUCUUUUCUCAUGAUACACCUCAUCUUAUAAACCAUCAUUGAAGUGGGGUAAAAUAUCAUGGUUUUUCUUUUUCUCAUCCGAUAUCGUUUCAACUUAUCGAUGAUUUUUUAAAGCUCAUUUUCUCUCAGGUGCAUCUUUGCACCCACUGCCUAAGUCUUAUAAUUGUUACUCGUAAUAUCAAGGGCAUUUAUUUUGAGCUUUGUCAAAUUUGACAUGAUAACCGUAUUCAUAGAAUAAUAAUAUAUAAAGACGAAAAUUUAAAUGCAUAAAUUAAAAGCAUAAAAUAAAUGCAUAAAUUAAAUUGCAGAAAUUUAAGGAGCAAUAAAUUAAAUUAGAGGCUUAGCCUACCACAUGAUCCGAUGAGUCUUAGACUACCAUAUUGAUCAUUUUUCAAAGUCCGAGGAGACAUGGUCUACCAUUUUGACUUUUACUUAUUUUAAGGUCUGAGGAGAUUUAGUCUACCAUUUUUGACCUUUUCUUUUUAUUCACGGAGGCAAAGCCUACCACGUGUUCUCUGACCGUGAAGGCAUAGCCUACCAUAACGAUUAGUCGGGAAAGGCAGCGUCUAUCAUCCCGAUAAAUAGACGGAGAAAGCCUAGCCUCUCAAUCUAAAAUAAUAAUAAAAUUUAAAUAAAUUAAAUAUAUUGAAAUACAUAAAUUUAAAUAUUACCUUCGGAUUAAUAAACCUCACCGGUAUAUAAGAGAUUUCGGAUUAAUAAACCUCACUGGUAUAUAAGAGUUCGUGCUGAUAUCGUGUUGUGGAUAAUAGCAAGUGAGGUAAAAGGUUUAUAUAUAUUAAAAUAGAUUGCUUUAUUUCUGAGUGGUAACAAAGAGAGAGUCAACAUGAGAUGUGAGUGAGAAGAGAGAGUUAUGAGUUGAAAGACUUGUAUCUCAUAUUAUUGCUUUUUUACAUCCAUAAAGUCAAGAGGAAAAGAGACUAUUUAUACUACACAUAAGUCCGUUGCUUUACUAGAAAAAAAAACAAAAAUACUAAGAGGUGAUAGAUGACAUUAUUGCUGUAAGAAAGACAUGUGUCCAAGAUGGAUAAUCAUCAUAUUUUGAUCUUUUAUCUUCUAACAAAGUUUGAUAUUUCUCCUUUUGUUUUUAUUAAGUUUUUCAAAAACAAAAAUGUGAAAACAAGGAUUCAUGGUUUCUUAUAUAACUUAUAAUAUUACUUAAAACUAUAAAGAAACUUUGACAAAAGCAGAAACAACACUUUAUAGGAUAAAAGAAAAAUAGAAAACCGAAUGAAGACUUGGAGAACAUAUAAGAUAAUGAUUAUCGCAAGGAAUCCUUAAUUUUUUUUUUUUGUGUUUCCUAGAAAAAAAAUAAAUAAAUCAAUCGCAGACCGUUACGUGUCGGUGGAGUCCGCAAACAGUAUCAAAACCCUUUAAUUACCGAUCCUUAUUUAAUGAAUUUGGGAAAUGGUUUUUAAAUUUUUGUGAGAUCCACGCGUUAAUGAGAUCUACAUUUUAUCAAAAAACUUCCCUAAAAACCUUGGGAUUUUCAUGCUCUAAAGUACCGACAAUCACACAAUGUAUUCGGCCAAGAUAAGAAUGUACUGCUUCACCUCGUCAGUUUGACGAAUUAAUAUUAGCUGACCCUACCAUCACAAUCUACUCGUAAAAAUGUCACUACAGCCAUGGAAAUUUCAUGGCUAAACAGCCAUGGCUAUAUGAAAAAUAAUCACAAUUUAUUAUCAAAAAAAAAACUGUGACAAGUGUGAUAACUGUUUCACAUGUGUGAAAUCGAGACAAUCAGAUUAAACAAGCAUGUAAUGUUUGUUUAAGGAAAUCUAAUAAAAGACAAUUGUUUGGAAGAAUCAACUUGUUCAUUGAUAUUUUGUGUUGAACGUGUUUCUGUGUUUUUAGGUUCUUCAGUUUCAUCCUUUUCUUGUGUCACUAAGCUUAUGUAUAAUAAGUUACUCUUUAAUAAGCUAAUGUUUGGAUUAAUAUGAAGUAUGUCUCAUCAUAUUUUCUCGAACUUUAUGGUUGUUAAACCAUACAUUGCAUAUUUCCUUGUUUUUUAAUUUGAACCCUUUUACAAAAAAAAAAAGUAGAUAAGAAUGCAAUGCAUCACCUCGUCAGUUUGACGAAUUCAUCAUAGCUAAUCCGGCCAUCACCAUCAACAUCAAAAUUUUUAAUGAAAUUAGCAGCUUCCUCAUCGGUUAUCAUUCGCUCACUAACUGUAAACACAUAUUUUUGAUAGUCUGCUGCAGUUAUGUAACCUUUUUGGUCUGCAUCUAUAGGUCUAUAAGUGUGAUUCAUUUCUUUCUUUUCCUCCCAUUCCAGUGUAACAUCAGUGGGAAAAUUUCCGAUCAUCACAACUUUUUCUAUAAUAUCCCUAACGAAGGAAAAAAAUAGAAAAUUAUUAAAUUAUUGAAACUCCACAACUGAGUCAUCGCAUAGUGAAGCUCUUGUACAGUUAUGUAAUGAUUUUGGUCUACAUCACGAAUCCUAAAUUCUUCCCAUAGCUUUUUCACUUUCAGUUGUUUCAACACAUGACUGGAAAUUUUUUCGAGCAUCGCAGCUUCAUCAGUCCUGAUAAAAAGAAAAACCAUUAUCUUAUUAAAUUAUAGAAACUCCGCCAUUGAAUCACGGAUUAAGAGAGUAGAAAAAUUCUGGUUCAUUUGAGUCAAAAUAGACGAGUAACAAACCAGAUACGCGAGUGUUCUCCAGCUAUGUUUGCUACACGUGUCAAAGCUUGGAUCCAUCUCUGCUUCUGUUUCUCUGUUACACCUUCACAUGUUUUCUUGAAUGCGAUGCCAAAGUCUCCCGUCUGAAUCCGUACAUCCGACGGAUCAACGUCAUAGAAAAUCGGUAUCACGAUCAGCUCCGAAGCUUCUUUGCACUUCAAGAUUUCAAGCAAUUCACCUAAACACCAUAUUGAAGAAGCGUAAUUCUUCGAGAGCAAAACAAUUGACACUUCCGCUUUUGUAAUGGCUUCCACGAGUUUAGAUCCAAUCGUAUGGCCUCUUUCGAUGUCAUUAUCAUUGAACAUCGUGAUUCCUUUCCUUGCAAAGACAUUGCGUAAAUGACUGAGGAUUCCACUACGAACAUCUGGCCCGUGGAAGCUCGGGAAGACAACAUGAGGCAAGGAAGAAGAAGAAGUCGCCAUGAGAGACAUAGAGCAAAAAAAUUAAGUUUGAAGAAAGUAUGAGAGUGGUUAAGUUUCAAAAAAAAAAAAAAAGUAUGAGAGUGGUUGAGGAAACAACAAGUCCCUUGUUCAUAUAUAUAUGAGCAAAUACACGUAAAGAGAAGAGGAAAUUUCAAGGGACUUUGAGUGAGACUGUACGGGACCACUGGUUUAUUUCCACAGAAUCCAUUGCUGACUCAUAAAAGUUUGUAAAAAUUAAACAAUCACCUUUUUAAUACAUCUAAGAUCAACUAUUCUUCCUUCCACCCUCGUGCUCCCUAUAAAACUCGGUCUGUAAACUGACAACUAGUUUUUAUAUGGAUAUUUUGUUAAAGAUUAUGACUAAUAGUUACAAUCUUAAAUGUCUCAAAGGAAAACAAAUUCGAGAUCGAUCGAUCUAUCUCCAUUUAUGUUCUUGUAUCAAGUAUAUUUUCCAAAUAUAUUUUUAUGACAAACUAACUUCACAUUUAUUUCAUUUUGUUUUGUAUCUCUACAACCUUAUGAACGUGAGUUGUUUGAGGUUAGCAGAGAAAAGGGAAUUAUGUCAAAAGGAAUAUUGAAUGAUACUGUACUGGAAACCACGAAUCCUCUGCGACUCAUAAGAGUUUUUUUUCAGUGCAAAUGUUAAGUGUAACUGGUUAUUCAUAGAAGGAAUAUUAUGAAUUAAAGAAUGAUUAUUUUUGGAAUAAGAAAAAAUGGAAUGAUAGAUUAAAUGGAACAAAAACUGAAAAUAUUUUUGGAAUGGCAUUCCACUCAUUCACGAAAGAUUAUGAUCCUGAAUAAAAGGAACAACAUUUACUACUUUUUGGACUGCUGAAACUUCUACUACUUUCUCAUCUACGGUCAACCAAAUGCUGAAGCUGAAGCCGAAGCUAAAUGCCUUAAUGAGAUGCAAUUUAGGGGAUGGGAAGUCUGUUAGCUUCUGGUUUGACUGGUGGACUGAUCUUGGUCCCCUAAUCUCUGUGUGUGGCAGGAGAGGUACUAGGGACCUUCGUAUUCCCAUUGACGCUACUGUUAGUGCUGCUGCACCUAAUGGACACUGGUCUCUUCCACCGGCGAGAUCCGAUGAAGCUGAAACCUUGCAGGUGGUUCUCUCAACGAUGCAGCCACCAUCAUCUUUGCACGGAAAGGAUUGUUUCCUUUGGCGGAGUGGUGCUCACUCUUUUCUGCCCAAGUUCUCUUCUAAAGCUACUUGGAACUUUGUAAGACAACCCUCCCCUCUGGUAUCGUGGUAUAAACUUAUCUGGUUCAAAGAAGAGAUUCCCCGCUGUUCUUUUGUCUCUUGGAUGUCAGUUUUAUCAAGGCUGCCUACUAGAGAUAGGCUCAUCUCAUGGGGAAUGCAGGUUCCUCCGGUGUGUCCCCUAUGUUCUCUGGACCAUGAAUCGCACGCUCAUAUGUUCUUCUCCUGCUGCUUCUCAACUGCAGUUUGGUCUCACUUCACGGGCUGGUUGCUCCCUACCACUCCGGAUUCACUCGCCUCUUUGGAAACCACCAUUGCUCUGCCACAUAUUGCUUCCUGCUCGGGUGCUGUGUCUGUUAUUAAACUUUUGAUGCAGGUCAUCGUCUACAGCCUGUGGAGAGAGAGGAACGUCCGUAUCUUUAAGAAUGUUUCCUCUACCGCAGCGGCGAUCGCCAAGUAUGUUGAUCGUUCUAUGAGGGAUCGUCUCUUGUCCUUAGCCCCUCCAGCUGAUGGCCACGACACGCUCCUCCUGCUCUACCUUUCCAUCAGACGUCUCUUUCCACCUUAGUGUCGCUUUCUCUUAUUUUGAUUGUUGUUGUUUAGUCUGUUUCCUUUGUCUUUCUUUUCUGCUUCUCUGUUCUUCUCUUGUAAUAAGUUGUUUAACAACAACAGUGUAUCCUUCUUUCAGAAAAUGGUAAGCUUAACAUUUUACCAAAAAAAAAAAAAUUAUAACAAAUAUAAGAAUAGAGAUCCAUAUCUAUAUGUAUCUUAUUUCCAAUGAUAAUGCACCGAUGUCAUGUAUAUACUAUAUGCUUGAAAUCUAUGGAACGUGACGAUAAAAUGAUGCAAUGAUUUGUUAUUGGAAUCUCUAAUGAACUAAUUAACUCCAUAUGAAUUUUUUUUUUCCUAGGUAGUAAUGUUUUCCUAUUCCAAAAAUAUUACCAUUAUCUUAUCUAACCAGUUUUGUAAAGUUAUUAUUCUGACUGUUUUCUUAUCCCAAUAAAUUGAAAACCUAAUAGCCAUCUGAAAGUAGUAACCACGAAGAAGAAGCAGUAUAGAAAUUACAUGUUCAUAGAAUCAGACAUUUUACAAUCCGAUAUAGAAAGUCUCGUAAACAGAAAUCCAAAGAGAAAAAAAAGAAACAGACUUAUUGGAAAUGAAAUGAGAAGAUAUUAUUAUAUGAAAGCGAAUUAAGCACCGGUGAAGCUUGGUGGCUUGUAAGCGAUGAAACUGAUGCACUGGACUUGACGGUUGUUGUCGAAUCCAAUGAUCCUGAUGAAGGCAUUAGGGUACUCAGUUUUGCAUUCUUGAACUUCCUUCAACACUUGAGCAGAGUCAGUGCAUCCGAACAAGGGAAGCUUCCACAUUGUCCAGUAACGGCCAUCGUAGUAUCCGGGGGUGCUUCCGUGCUCACGGUACACAAAUCCGUGCUACAAACACAUGAGAAUUCCAUUUAAAAUCAGGAUUGAGAUCAUGUGAUAAAAGAUGUUUAGAUCCAAAAAAUAUUUUGUCUUCAUUACCUCCAACUCGAAUUCAACACAAGGAAUCCACUUGUUGCGGAGAAGGUAGUCAACUUCCUUACCCAAUUCAACUUCGGUAAGGUCAGGAAGGUAAGAGAGGGUCUCAAACUUCUUCUUUCCAAUUGGUGGCCACACCUACAAAUCGUAUUUCCAGUUAAUGAAAUAUUAGUUCACUUUUGUACAUACUGUUUAGACCUUUUAACGAUCCUAGGUUUCUAAAUGUACUUUUGAAUAGGAUUCUGUUCGAAUCUACCAGUUGCGUGUAAUAAAAGACAAGCCUAACUGUAAACUCUCUAGUGACAUUUACCUGCAUGCAGCUAACUCUUCCUCCGUUGCUAACGAUGGAGGUAAUGUCGUUGUUGGCCUUGCGGGUGACUGGGAAUGCAGAGGAAGACUUCAAGCCGGUGAAUGGAGCGACCAUGGUGGCUUGAGCCGGGGAGGUAACAACAGCGGCGGAGGAGAGCAUAGAGUAAGCCAUGACUACUUCUUCUUCCUUCUCUUAACUCUUACUGUUAGUCUAUUGCUUUGGUCAUCUAUAUAGAGUGAGAACCCUUAUGGAUAUUUCAUGAUAUCGUCGUUAACAGCCACAGGAUUAUGAACGGUGUUGAUACCCUUAUCGAUACUUGACCACAAUGAAAAUGCCACGUGACAGAAAGGUUAUCUUAUCUUAUCGUAUUAUGAAAACGUAUGGUUACUGGUCCGGUCUCCACUUGAGCCGAUGCUUUAGGCUCCUUCCUUAUUUUCGUGGGUCAACUUUUCAUAGAGCCCAUAAGGAUGAGAUCGUGUGGUACAUAAUAGGCCCAACAAUCAACGCCGUGAAAGAAAGUUACAUUAAUUUGCUACCACUUGUAGUUGCACACAGAAAAAAAAAAUUACUAACACUUGUAGCUUUAAGAAUUUAUAUCUCCAAUACGUGUCUCCCUUCGAAAUGUCACCCGGAAUUGGUUCUGCUACGUCAUCACCUCAUUACCGUCACUGAAUCCGCCAGUGAUGACUCAAAUUUCAUCAACUCUUCCGCAAGCUUCUACACCUCCGAGAGCAUGUACCACCAAAAAAUCCUUCCAUCAUAUGUACUAUGCAGACGCAAGCUGACCGAAAAGAACUUUCAACAUAGUACCGGCUCAAAUAUUUUUAGAGGCCAGAGCGGGUCAGAAAAAUAAUUUCAUUUUAUUGAGAAUUUAAAAUAUUUUUUCUGUUAACAAUUUCAUUUUUAAAAAUAUUAGAAUACAUAAAAGGCCAGCUAAAUGUGACAGGUGAUUACGUAGUUUUAAUCAUUAAUCUUAACUUUCUUCGUUAGCUGAUCAACAUGAUAAACAAAUGCUCUAGGUAUAUCUUAUCUAUAACCUUAUAGGAGCAACUGCUAGUAUUAGAUGGAUUCAAAAUAUCUUGGAGAAUGGCUAUUGCUCGAUUUACGUUAGGCGUUUACUUCCUUCUGCUUAGAUGGAAAUUCAGGCUCUUGUUGAGUUCUGCACUCCUAGAAAGACCACAUUCUUGUAACAGAGUGUGUUCAUUUGUUGAACGGCUAAUAGCAUGGCCAUUGCUUAUGCUUUUAUAAUAGUUAACUAACCUGGGCGGGUAUUGAUUUUUUACAUUUUUAUAUAUUGAUUUUUGUUUUUCAUAAUUAGUAUUAUAUAUUUUAGAUGCUUGUAAUAUAACUAAUUGUAUUCAAAAGAACAACUGCUAGGAUCAACAGCUAGUAUUAGAUGGAUUCAAAAUAUCUUAGAGAAUGGCUAUUGCUCCAUUUACGUUAGGCGUUUACUUCCUUCUGCUUAGAUGGAGAUUCAGGCUCUUGUUGAGUUCUGCACUCCUAGAAAGACCACAUUCUUGUAACAGAGUGUGUUCAUUUGUUGAACGGCUAAUAGCAUGGCCAUUGCUUAUGCUUUUAAUAGUUAACUAACCUGGGUGGGUAUUGAUUUUUUACAUUUUUAUAUAUUGAUUUUUGUUUUUCAUAAUUAGUGUUAUAUAUUUUAGACGCUUGUAAUAUAACUAAUUGUAUUCAAAAGAACAACUGCUAGGAUCAACAGCUAGUAUUAGAUGGAUUCAAAAUAUCUUAGAGAAUGGCUAUUGCUCCAUUUACGUUAGGCGUUUACUUCCUUCUGCUUAGAUGGAGAUUCAGGCUCUUGUUGAGUUCUGCACUCCUAGAAAGACCACAUUCUUGUAACAGAGUGUGUUCAUUUGUUGAACGGCUAAUAGCAUGGCCAUUGCUUAUGCUUUUAUAAUAGUUAACUAACCUGGGCGGGUAUUGAUUUUUUACAUUUUUAUAUAUUGAUUUUUGUUUUUCAUAAUUAGUAUUAUAUAUUUUAGAUGCUUGUAAUAUAACUAAUUGUAUUCAAAAGAACAACUGCUAGGAUCAACAGCUAGUAUUAGAUGGAUUCAAAAUAUCUUAGAGAAUGGCUAUUGCUCCAUUUACGUUAGGCGUUUACUUCCUUCUGCUUAGAUGGAGAUUCAGGCUCUUGUUGAGUUCUGCACUCCUAGAAAGACCACAUUCUUGUAACAGAGUGUGUUCAUUUGUUGAACGGCUAAUAGCAUGGCCAUUGCUUAUGCUUUUAUAAUAGAAGCCCAGGUCCCGAUGGCUAUUCUUUUGAGUUCCUUAAAGCAUCGUGGGAUACUGUUGGAGGGGAUGUGAUUGCUGCGGUUUCUGAGUUUUUUCGUAAUGGCCGAUUGCUGAAAGACCUAAACACCACAGCUAUUGUUCUCAUUCCUAAGACCACUACUGCUUGUAGCCUUCGGGACUACCGGCCGAUAAGCUGCUGCAACAUUGUGUAUAAGAUCAUCACCAAGAUAAUCGCCAACAGGCUCAAGCCGAUUCUCAAGAGUUCGAUAAGUCGUGCUCAGUCGGCUUUUCUUAAAGGGCGCAGCUUGGGUGAAAACGUCCUUCUUGCAGCUGAGCUGAUCCGCAAGUAUGAGAACCAAAAUUGCAGCAGGAGCAGCAUGCUAAAAAUAGACAUCCGCAAAGCUUUUGAUACAAUCUGCUGGGACUUUGUCAUUAAGAUCCUCCAGGCUCAGGGAUUCCCUCCGAUUUUCGUUACCUGGAUCAGAGAAUGCAUCUCGUCACCCAGGUUCUCUGUGGCCAUUAAUGGUGAGUUUGCAGGUUUCUUCCCGGGGAAAAAGGGGCUGCGUCAGGGUGAUGCAAUCUCGCCGUACCUCUUCAUUAUGGUGAUGGAAGUACUGUCAAAACUGCUUGAACGAGCUGCUGCUGCUGGACAUUUUCGCCUCCAUCCUCGGUGUUCUGAGCCUAUAGUCACGCAUCUGCUUUUUGCUGAUGAUCUUCUUGUGUUCACUGAUGGGUCAAGGCACUCUAUCUCCGGUGUUAAGAACGUGAUGGCAGGGUUUAAAGACUGGACAGGUCUGGAUAUAAAUGCUGAAAAAUCUGAAAUUUUCUUUGGUGGGUAUCUAGAUAUUGAGGCUGCUGUCAUCAGUGACAUCUCAGGUUUCAAGCGUGGUAAAUUCCCAACUCGGUAUCUAGGCCUACCGCUAUGCCCUAAGAAGAUCAGUUUUGCGACGCUGCAGCCUUUUCUUGAGCGAAUAACUGCCAAGCUAAACAAUUGGACAGUUAAAUGCCUCUCCUAUGCCGGCAGGAUCACUAUGAUCUCAUCCGUCAUUUAUGGAAUGGUAAAUUUUUGGAGCUCGGUCUUCACACUGCCAAAGAGGUUCUAUGCUAAGGUUGACUCCUUCUGUGCGUCCUUCCUCUGGAAAAAUAAGACUACAUCGGCUUCGGGGGCUCGAGUUAGCUGGGACGAUAUAUGUAAACCGAAGAAUGAGGGCGGAUUAGGAAUCAGGAAGUUGGAAGAUUUCCAAUCAGUCUUCCAGCUGAAGAGGGUUUGGAAUUUUUUCUCUGAGGCAAGCUCUUUAUGGGUUGCUUGGCUCCAGCAUAAUGUCUUCGCGGGGUCAUCUUUUUGGACUGCUGAAACUUCUACUACUUUCUCAUCUACGGUCAACCAAAUGCUGAAGCUGAAGCCGAAGCUAAAUGCCUUAAUGAGAUGCAAUUUAGGGGAUGGGAAGUCUGUUAGCUUCUGGUUUGACUGGUGGACUGAUCUUGGUCCCCUAAUCUCUGUGUGUGGCAGGAGAGGUACUAGGGACCUUCGUAUUCCCAUUGACGCUACUGUUAGUGCUGCUGCACCUAAUGGACACUGGUCUCUUCCACCGGCGAGAUCCGACGAAGCUGAAACCUUGCAGGUGGUUCUCUCAACGAUGCAGCCACCAUCAUCUUUGCGCGGAAAGGAUUGUUUCCUUUGGCGGAGUGGUGCUCACUCUUUUCUGCCCAAGUUCUCUUCUAAAGCUACUUGGAACUUUGUAAGACAACCCUCCCCUCUGGUAUCGUGGUAUAAACUUAUCUGGUUCAAAGAAGAGAUUCCCCGCUGUUCUUUUGUCUCUUGGAUGUCAGUUUUAUCAAGGCUGCCUACUAGAGAUAGGCUCAUCUCAUGGGGAAUGCAGGUUCCUCCGGUGUGUCCCCUAUGUUCUCUGGACCAUGAAUCGCACGCUCAUAUGUUCUUCUCCUGCUGCUUCUCAACUGCAGUUUGGUCUCACUUCACGGGCUGGUUGCUCCCUACCACUCCGGAUUCACUCGCCUCUUUGGAAACCACCAUUGCUCUGCCACAUAUUGCUUCCUGCUCGGGUGCUGUGUCUGUUAUUAAACUUUUGAUGCAGGUCAUCGUCUACAGCCUGUGGAGAGAGAGGAACGUCCGUAUCUUUAAGAAUGUUUCCUCUACCGCAGCGGCGAUCGCCAAGUAUGUUGAUCGUUCUAUGAGGGAUCGUCUCUUGUCCUUAGCCCCUCCAGCUGAUGGCCACGACACGCUCCUCCUGCUCUACCUUUCCAUCAGACGUCUCUUUCCACCUUAGUGUCGCUUUCUCUUAUUUUGAUUGUUGUUGUUUAGUCUGUUUCCUUUGUCUUUCUUUUCUGCUUCUCUGUUCUUCUCUUGUAAUAAGUUGUUUAACAACAACAGUGUAUCCUUCUUUCAGAAAAUGGUAAGCUUAACAUUUUACCAAAAAAAAAAAAAUUAUAACAAAUAUAAGAAUAGAGAUCCAUAUCUAUAUGUAUCUUAUUUCCAAUGAUAAUGCACCGAUGUCAUGUAUAUACUAUAUGCUUGAAAUCUAUGGAACGUGACGAUAAAAUGAUGCAAUGAUUUGUUAUUGGAAUCUCUAAUGAACUAAUUAACUCCAUAUGAAUUUUUUUUUUCCUAGGUAGUAAUGUUUUCCUAUUCCAAAAAUAUUACCAUUAUCUUAUCUAACCAGUUUUGUAAAGUUAUUAUUCUGACUGUUUUCUUAUCCCAAUAAAUUGAAAACCUAAUAGCCAUCUGAAAGUAGUAACCACGAAGAAGAAGCAGUAUAGAAAUUACAUGUUCAUAGAAUCAGACAUUUUACAAUCCGAUAUAGAAAGUCUCGUAAACAGAAAUCCAAAGAGAAAAAAAAGAAACAGACUUAUUGGAAAUGAAAUGAGAAGAUAUUAUUAUAUGAAAGCGAAUUAAGCACCGGUGAAGCUUGGUGGCUUGUAAGCGAUGAAACUGAUGCACUGGACUUGACGGUUGUUGUCGAAUCCAAUGAUCCUGAUGAAGGCAUUAGGGUACUCAGUUCU